This 62491-nucleotide long non-coding RNA is filed under the name Brassica napus (rape). RNAcentral describes it as "long non-coding RNA (BNAP_LNC008853)". Lineage: Eukaryota; Viridiplantae; Streptophyta; Magnoliopsida; Brassicales; Brassicaceae. The record is from RNAcentral.
AGGUACAUACUUCAAUCAUGAUCAUCCCUCUCUCAUUGUUACUAUAUCCACGAGCUUCUCUCUUUCUUACAGUGGUAUGUGUUUGGUUGAUGAUAGAUUCAUACAGGGCGAUAACCGAUGAGGGAAUGCCUAUGCACCAGAGGCCGUUCAUGAAGGGCAAGCUUUACAUCCACUUCACGGUCGACUUCCCUGACUCGCUGAGCCCUGACCAGACAAAGGCCAUUGAAGCGGUUUUGCCGAAGCCAAAGGCGGAUCUGAGCGACAUGGAAAUAGACGAAUGCGAGGAGACGACGCUGCACGAAGUGAACAUUGAGGAUGAGAUGAGAAGGAAGGCUCAAGCUCAAAGAGAGGCUUAUGAUGAUGACGAUGAUGAUGAAGAAGGCCCAGGUGGUGCUCAGCGUGUGCAAUGUGCCCAGCAGUGAUCAAACAUGCGCACUUGUAGUGAUAUUCAGCACUUGCGUUUUCUUAAACUUAUAUGUAUUAUUUUUGGGUCUUUGCUAUAAGACUUUUGCCCGAUUCUGUUGGAAGAAACUUGUCCUAAUUCAAUUUCUUGUCACAAUGUUGGUAACCCAUUCAGCAAACGCAAACGUAAAACUUGCAAACGGCACACGCUAGCACGAAGAACACAAUCAAGAUUUUGAGAAAACAAUGGUCUGGUAGAAUAAAGAAUGAGCAAUCAAAAUCGAAUAGUGUUGCUGAGUUUGUCGUGGUAAACCAUUGGCGCCACUGUUGCAAUAUAUAUACAUUUCACAAAAGUUAAUUGAAUUAUGUUCUAAAUUUCUAUAUAUACUAGAUGACUAGGUGUUUUGCCCGCACAUGUGGAUCUAAUUUUUUUGUGAACAUUUAUUAGUUUAUGUUUUAUUAAUUCAAAACCCAAAGUGAUAAUUUUUUAUUUAUAUUUUUUAAAAAAUUAAAUAAAACAUCAAAUUAUUUAUAUAUAACAAAUAUUUUUAUUUAUACAAAUGCUGUUUUAUUAAUAUUUAAUUAUAAAUAAUUUCAUAUCUUAAUUUUCAAUUUUUAUAAUAGAAAAAUAUUAUUUUAAAAUAACAAUAUAAUAUAUAAGAUAACAACACAAUAUAAUAAAAAUUAUCUUAUUAUAAUAUAUUUAGGAAUUAUCUUUUUAUAAUAAAAAAAUAUUUUUAAGAUUUUGGAUAAUUCUUAUUAUUAGUCGCGGGCAAAACACUUAGUUAUUUAUAUAUGACAAAUAUUUUUAUUUAUAUAAAUGCUUUUUUUAUUAAUAUUUAAUUAUAAAUAAUUUCAUAUCUAAAUUUUCAAUUUUUAUAAUAGAAAAAUAUUAUUUCAAGAUAACAAUACAAUAUAUAAGAUAACAACACAAUAUAAUAAGAAUUAUCUUAUUAUAAUAUAUACAGAAAUUAUCUUUUUAUAUGAUAAUUUCUUAUUUAUAUUUUUCAAAAAUUAAAUAAAACAUCAAAUUAUUUAUAUAUGACAAAUUUUUUAUUUAUACAAAUGCUUUUUUAUUAAUAUUUAAUUAUAAAUAAUUUUAUAUCUUAAUUGUCAAUUUUUAUAAUAGAAAAAUAUUAUUUCAAUAUAACAAUACAAUAUAUAAGAUAACAACACAAUAUAAUAAGAAUUAUCUUAUUAUAAUAUAUACAGAAAUUAUCGUUUUAUUUUUAAAUAUAUUUUUAGAUUUUGGAUAAUUCUUAGUUUUAAUCACUUAUAUUAUUAAAAAAUCAAAUUUGUUUUUAUUUUUUAUUAAUUUAUAUAUUUAAUUUAUUAAGGGUAUAAUUGAUAUUAACCACUCUAACUUUUAACGUGAGAGCUCCGUUGCAAAAAUUUACUUCGUAAAUAAUAGUAUAGAUAACUGGGCACUUGUUUAGAGUGAGACUUUAUACCAAUAUUUGUUCAUUAAAUGGUUUUAACAUUUUGCAACACUGCAAUUUUUAUUGACUAUAAAAUGACUAAUACAAAUGUUAGUUUCUUAAAUGUAUUAUUGUUGUUAAAGAGCAUAUUUUAAUUAUUUUUAAAAUUUAUUAUAUGCACAAAAAAAAUUAAGUUUUGCGGUUAACACAUAUCACCAAACCCGAUCGAUUGUAAAAUCAUGAAAGAGGAUCAGGUUUGCCGCUCUUGAUUUGCUUAAAGAUUAAAACGACGAAUGAUUAAAUACUUAAGAAUCAUAAAUGUGAUGUAUAAUUAAUUAUGAGAACCAAGAUGCAAAUAAAAAAUGAAACUUUAAAUUUAGAGUUUUGAGUAGAUUUGAAGUUUUAUUUCUUAGAACUUUGAAUUUGAAGUUUUGAAGUUUAUUUUAGAAUAGCAAAAAAUUCUAUAUUUGAAGUUAUAGAGUUUUUUUUUUGAGAUGCUCUAAGCAAAAAAAAAAACUAUAUAUUUUUUCUUCUUAAACAAAAGGGUGUUUCUAAUUUUCCAUAAAUGCCCAUAAGUAAGUAAGUAACCAUGCAAAGUUGAUAAAUGUCUAACUUAUAUUUUAAAAUAUAUAACAUUAGUGUAAAUUAAUCAUAGUUGGAUCUAUAUAUCUAAUAACAUGAUAUUCAUCUUAAUAUUUCCUAUCUCAUAUAUUAAUAGAAUACAUGAACUUGUUGAUGUAAUUUUCAAAUUCAUUUAUUUUCUUUAGAUUAGUGUAGAUUAAUCGUAUUUGGAUUUAUAUUUAAUAAAAUAAAACCUAACUUAACAUUUCAUAUCAAAUUUAUUAAUAGAGUACAUGAACUUGUUGAUGCAGUUUUCAAAUUCAUAUAUUUUCCUAUGAUUAUUUAGCUAAUUUUUAAAAAUAAAUUUCUCCUUUUCCUACUAGAGAAGAAUGAAUAAAAAAACAAAACAAAGUCUUUAAAUAAAAGGAAAGAUAUAAAAGGUUCUAGAGUGUUCGGCUGUCCCUACAAAGACCUGAACACAAACUCUUCUUCGAACAACUCAGCCACACAAACAAAACUCCAUCAAAAGCCUCUCCUCCCACCACUUUCCUUUAGGGUUUUCUUAAACAACGUAGACAAGAUGUUCAGAAGAGGACCUCCGAGUAAGAGCGAUAACACCAAGUUCUACGAGAUCCUCGGCGUCCCCAAGACCGCAUCACCCGAAGAUCUCAAAAAGGCUUACAAGAAAGCCGCCAUCAAAAACCAUCCCGACAAGGGUGGAGAUCCCGAAAAGGUCUGAAUCCUUCGAUCCCCUUUUGUGUAAUUCAAUAAAGUUAGUUCUUUUAUAGUUUGGUUUGGAUUUUCCGACCGGUAGAUGUCGUGUAAGAGGUUGAAUUCUUCGUUAGAUGUCCGAUUCGAUCUGAAAGGUGCGAGCUUUAGGUCAAUUGGUUGACUUUUGUUUCAUGUCUCUGUAUGUGCAGUUCAAAGAGCUAGCUCAGGCUUAUGAAGUUCUAAGUGAUCCGGAGAAGCGUGAGAUCUACGAUCAGUAUGGAGAGGAUGCACUCAAAGAGGGAAUGGGCGGUGGAGGCGGUGGGCAUGAUCCGUUUGAUAUCUUCUCGUCCUUCUUUGGUGGCGGUGGUGGUAGCCCAUUCGGUGGUUAGUCCCUUAGAUUCCUCAUUUCACAAUCUAUUUUGCCUUUGAAUAGAUGAUAAAGGUUUAAUUUUGUCGUUUUUGAUUAGGUGGCAGCAGCCGUGGAAGGAGGCAGAGGCGUGGUGAAGAUGUGGUUCACCCUCUGAAGGUUUCACUAGAGGAUCUUUAUCUCGGAACAACGAAGAAGCUCUCACUUUCUAGGAAUGCUUUGUGCUCUAAGUGUAACGGGUUAGUUAGUUAGUUCUACUUUUUACUUCUGUUUAAGUGCUUUAUAAGAGUUCUUCACUGACAUUAGUUGCUCUAUGAUGGCAGAAAGGGUUCAAAGUCUGGAGCUUCAUCGACAUGUAGUGGAUGUCAAGGAUCUGGAAUGAAGGUUUCAAUCAGGCAGCUUGGACCGGGAAUGAUUCAGCAGAUGCAGCACCCUUGUCAUGAUUGCAAAGGUACAGGAGAGACCAUCAAUGACCGUGACAGGUGUCCACAAUGCAAAGGAGAUAAGGUUGUCUCUGAGAAGAAGGUGCUUGAAGUAGCUGUGGAAAAGGGAAUGCAGCAUAGUCAGAAGAUCACAUUCAGUGGACAAGCAGAUGAAGCGGUUUGUGAUUACUCAUUAUAUCCCUAGUUUUGAUCAUUACAUUAUUCUCUGCUGACUUUCUAUGUUGAUAAAACAGCCGGAUACAGUCACUGGUGAUAUAGUGUUCGUCAUCCAACAGAAGGAGCACCCAAAGUUCAAGAGAAAGGGAGAUGAUCUCUUUGUGGAGCACACCCUCUCUCUUACUGAAGCUCUCUGUGGCUUCCAGUUUGUCUUGACCCAUUUGGACAAAAGGCAGCUUCUCAUCAAAUCCAGUCCCGGAGAGGUUGUGAAGCCAGGUAACGUACUUCAAUCAUGAUCAUCCCUCUCAUCGUUUUUUUGCUUCUCUCCUUCUUACCGUGUUGUGUGUUUGGUUUUUGAUAGAUUCAUACAGGGCGAUAACCGAUGAGGGAAUGCCUGUGCACCAGAGACCGUUCAUGAAGGGCAAGCUUUACAUCCACUUCACGGUCGACUUCCCUGACUCGCUGAGCCCUGACCAGACAAAGGCCAUUGAAGCGGUUUUGCCGAAGCCAAAGGCGGAUCUGAGCGACAUGGAAAUAGACGAAUGCGAGGAGACGACGCUGCACGAAGUGAACAUUGAGGAUGAGAUGAGAAGGAAGGCUCAAGCUCAAAGAGAGGCUUAUGAUGAUGACGAUGAUGAUGAAGAAGGCCCAGGCGGUCCUCAGCGUGUGCAAUGUGCCCAGCAGUGAUAUCAAACAUGCGCACUUGUAGUGAUGAUAUUCAGCAUUUGCGUUUUUAAAAAUUAUAUGUAUUAUUUUUUGGUCUUUGCUAUAAGACUUUUGCCCGAUUAUGUUGGAAGAAACUUGUCCUAAUUCAAAUUCUUGUCACAAUGUUGGUUUUGAGAAAUAAACUUUUCUAGUUCUCUCCACCAACAGUUCAAGGGUACGAAAUCUAGCUAUAGCUUGGACAUGGACUUAGUUAGGAGAAUGCGUUAAAUCAAGACACUAGACAAGACUAGUAUAAAGGUGGCUUGUACCUCGAUUUUACAGAGUCGAGCCACGGCUAGAAUGUUUUGGAGUUCUCUAGUGCUGUUACCAAUAUCUGGAUCACUCGUCUUAUCAGUGGCGUUUGCAAUGCAAGAGUGCUGUACCCAUUCGAUUCGAUCAAGUAUUCGCCUUGUCUAUUUGAUGACUGUCCUGUGAUCGGUUCCAACAUCAACACUCCUGGUUCGGAAAUAUCACGUUUCCACAUUCCUCAUCGGCACAUGAUGCUACAAGAGUUGAAUGAAACAUCAUAUAUAUAAUAUAUGUGCAUCAUUAUUGCUAGAGAUUAGCAAGUAUUCCAAAAAAAAAUGCUGUUAAAGAGCCGAUCAUAAUCAUGUUCUGACUCCCUUUAGUAUGUUAAUUAAACAAGAACAGUACUCGUACUAAUGUCUAUGAAGCAACUUACUAAUGCUGCUAUAGCUAUUUAGAUGCGACUCUUCCAGUUCAGAGAGCGGAUCCACCAAGAAAGAGACAAGAGAUGCCACAAAGGAUUCUGACAUUGUGUUUUAUGGGGGAUUCACUCCCACUCUUUUUGUUUUUGGCUUUAUAUAUCAAUUAAACGUUUUAAUUAACCCCAAAGAUUCUUUCAUUUUAUUUUCUAUACUGAUGAGAGCAUUUUAUAAAUAGGCGUCCUAAGUUGUGUUUCAACAUUUUAUCGUUAAGAAGAAUGCAACCUUCGCAAAUGACAAAUCGUAUGAUAGAGAGAUCCCACCUAAAAAGUUUGCAUGUAGACAGAUCCAAAGAUAAAAUGGCUAUAUGCUUAUGCGUAUAAAGUUACUUUACUGAUGUUAUAUUAUUAUCCAUAUGAGUUCUGUAUGAUUCAACAUGCAAUUCAAUCAACUUUAUGAUGCAAAGCCGUAAUUUCUUUUAUUUAUUUCCCUUUUGUUAUUGAAUUGUCACAUGUGAACCGUUCAACUCUAAAAUAGGGGUGGUAUUUUACCCGAUACCCGAUAUCCAACCCGAAAAACCCAAACCGAAAUAGCAAAAUACCCGCGGAUAUUGAUUUAGGAGAGAUUAAAUAUCCGAACCCGAAUAGAUAUCCGAAGAUAACCGAACAUAUGUAUACUUGUCCUUAUAUUUUUUUGUUUACAUCUCUUAUUUUAUUUAAAAUAUUUAUAUUGAUGUUACACAUACUUUAAGAUCAUAUAAUAUACAUAUAAUUACAGAGAAAAUGAUUUGUCACUCAAUUAAAAUGCAUGUCAAAUUUUUUAUUUCAUAUAUUAACAAAAGUUACAUUCAAAAUUUCAAAACAAUAUCCAAAUUAAAGUUUAUUUAUUUUGAAAUGUUAUCUCCAAAUUUAUCAAUCAUUCAAUCUAUUAAAAAAUAAAAAAUCAGUUAAGUGAAAUCUAUACUCUUAUACCAAAAUAUUCGAAUGGGUAUCCGAGUGUCUACCCCUACUUUAAAACAAGAAUUUUUGUUUUUUUUUUCUAUGUAACUAUAAAUUACGCUCUAGAUUAUGCAAAACUAAAGCUAAUAAAAUUUGAUGAAAUAACGUUUUCUUACAAAUCACUGAAAUGGUAUAAAUAAAUAAUUCGAUAAUCUGCAAUUUAUUUUUACUGGAAAAUAAAAAUCUAUACUAUAUAAAUUUCCCUCCUUUCCCCUUAUAUCAUCUUCGCGAGCGACGAUACUUCACAAAAAGAGAAAAAAAAAAAAGAAAAAAAAAUCAGAGGGCCAAAUCUCUCUACAAGUUUCAUGCGUUUUGAGAUGCUGACUGUGUGAAGAAAACAUCGGUCCUCCCCUCCUCUCCAUACAUCUCUCUACGAAUCUUUGCCUUUGCCUUCGCCAAGCAACAAUGAGCGUGGCAUCCCCCGAAGAAUCUCCCGAUUCAACUCACCGGAUCGAUUCGCUCAACGGCGAGCAGAGCGUCUACUUCGUCCCCUUGAGGUAUCUCCUCUCCCGCCUCUCCAAUCUUUCGUUGUAGUCCGUGUUCGUUGUAAAUCGAAUAUUCCGCGAAUCUGAAUCGCAUCCCAGUAACUGGGGGAGUUUGAUUCGAUUUGGUUGGAUUUGAAUCUCUCAGGGGGUUUCGAAAUUUGAUUUGAUCUAUAGAUUUUGGGAUCCAUUUGGGGAUGAAUAGGGGAUGUAUAUCGUAAACCUGAUCCUUGUUUUUGAGCUUCAUUAUAUGAUUCAAAUGUAAGCUUUAAUGUUGAUUGAAAUGGAUAUUGACUGUCCUCGAUUGAUUCCUGUACAAUACCUAUGAGCCAUUCUCUUAUUGCUGAUUGAUGAUUGAGCUGACAGCAGGGAAUAGAGGUCAAUCGCAGAUCUGCAAAAUACGAUUCUCAUUCAUUUCCAGAUUCAUAUAAGUAUUCUCUAAUGGUAGUGUUAGUGAAAUGUUCAAACUAAUCAAGGCGAUGUUUGAACUUUUGUAUUUUUCAGGUGGUGGAAAGAUGCUCAAGAGUCAACGACUUCUGAAUCGGUUGACAAAAGAGAGGUCUUGUAUACAGCAACUACUGGGUCGUCUUAUGGAGGCCCGAUGAAGUUGAUAAAUAACAUCUUUAACUCUGAUAUUUUGUUCGAUCUGAGGAGAGAAGGAGAUGGGUUACUGAAUGGUGAAACGGGAGAAGCAAGCGUCUCAGGCAGGGACUUUGCUUUGGUAUCUAGUGAUAUGUGGCUGCAGGCACUCAAAUGGUAAGCGGUUGUGUCUUCUGUGGUUCCUUCUAGAAUGACGUGAGUCAGUCUGUCACUGUCCAUGUCAAUUUAGUGUUGCCAGUUGAGAUCCUUUACUAUAAGUUGUGUUGGGAUGUGUGAGAGAAAGGACAGAUUAUUGUUAUGAAUUAGUGACUAUUGUAUUCAUGCUUGGGUUUCCUGCACACUGUAUCUUUCUAAAAAAAGGAAAGGUGAUGUCCUUAACUUGUUACCUAUUAAUUCUUUGCUCCCAGGCACCAUGAUAAUAAAAAUAACGAGAAAGGCGUAAAAAGUUUCUCGGCUGGAGGAGUUGACCGAGGUGAUGUUUAUCCGGUACAACUCAGGCUUUCCGUCUUGCAGGAAACCAAUUCGUUGGCGGUUAAAAUUUGCAAAAAGGUAUUUUCAAAUUCACAGCCUUUUUUAUUUGCCUAAUCUAGUGCCUUGGUGGUGCCACAUGUUCUUGCUGCUAUAUCAGUGCAGUGAUCGACUUUACCUAAAUUGGAUUGUUUUCCUGGUUACUCUAGAACUGAAGUUUCAUAACUGAAUUUUCCUACCAGAUGAGACAUUGCAUACCUAUAGGUCUAUAGAAUCUAUUUCCUAGCUGCUGAACUUUUGUCAUCUACGGAAUCUAGUUCUAAACUUGGAACUUAUCUUCCAGUUAAGAAUUAUGCUUGAACCAUACUAGAAUCGACUUAGUUUCUUGAUCUUCCUAUCUACUGAAUUUCUUCUAAGCUUCUCAGUUUUUGUUUCUGGUUCCAAAUUUUAUGUUUUACCUCAUGCAGGACAAUUCAGUUGAGUGCUUCAGAAGAGCAUGCAAGAUAUUCAAUUUGGAUUCUGAGCAGGUAAUGUGUUCCAUGCAUGAUCUGUUACCUACUAUGUACACGAUAUACGUGUCAGCUUUAUGCAUAAUUUAGACAUGCGAUAUUCAUUUGUAUUCGUGCAAUUACAAAGUUACCGGUAUUUUUGGUUCUGUAGCUGCGCAUUUGGGAUAUUUCUGGGCAAACAACCUUGUUUUUCGAAAAUGAUGUGAACAGUUCCAAGGAUUGUCAACAACAAACAGAUCAAGAAGUAAGUGUGACGCCUUCCCUUUUCCUUUUUCUCCUAUUUCCUUUGAUGUGGCAUUUCAUAUCCAUCAUUACUUUUGGCCCAACAGAUGCUCCUAGAGUUGCAGAUUUAUGGGUUAUCAGACUCCAUUAAAUUGAAGGAAUCGAAAAAAGAAGAUGGUUCCACUCAGCAAACCAACGGGAUCACCAAUGGCACUAAUGGUGGCACAAUUUUUAGAUUUGGACGGAGUAAUUCUUUGAGCUUUCUGGGAAAAGCUGGAGAAGCCGGAACUCUGGGGUUGACAGGCUUACAGAAUCUAGGAAAUACUUGUUUCAUGAACAGCUCCCUUCAGUGCUUGGCUCACACACCAAAGCUUGUUGACUUUUUUCUUGGAGAGUACAGUAGAGAAAUAAAUCUCGAGAACCCAUUAGGAAUGAAAGUAUGCUAAUCUAUGAUUUUCUGUAUAAAUAUCUGCCGUGACUGAUUAAUAUAUGUUCUUGUUUCUUGGUUAGCCUUACCAAUCAAAUUUUAUUCUGGCAGGGUGAGAUCGCAUUAGCUUUUGGUGAUUUGUUAAGGAGUUUGUGGGCUCCAGGUGCAUCAACAGUGGCCCCAAGGACAUUUAAAGCAAAACUUGCUCGAUUUGCUCCUCAAUUUACUGGCUUUAAUCAGCAUGAUUCACAGGUCAGGGAAUACACUUCAGUUUAUAGAAUCAAUUAAGUGAGCCUUCCUGAUGUUUAUUCGUGUCUCUCAGCAUUAAAGACCGCAUACGGGAAUGUCCCAUUCAUGUGUUUCAAUUUUAUUUUAUUUGGUAGCAGGAACUUUUAGCUUUCUUGCUGGAUGGACUCCACGAAGACUUAAACCGUGUAAAGAACAAGCCUUAUGUGGAAGCAAAAGAUGGAGAUGGCCGUCCAGACGAAGAAGUGGCGGAUGAAUAUUGGCGAAAUCAUGUGGCUCGCAAUGAUUCAAUAAUUGUUGAUGUGUGCCAAGUAAAUAUCUCAGGUUCCUAAAUUGUGUAUAUACAUCUGCUGACAAUCACGCUAAGGAUUGGGUUUGACUGCACAUUAGGAAACUCUAGUUAGUUUGAUUUCAGCUUGAAAAAUGUUGGAUGGCUUAAGCUGGAUAGUAUUUUUAGGUUUUAGGUAUCAUUUAAUCUAAGCUGCAUAUGUUUGAAACUUCUUCCAUCAGAUUGGUCAGUGCAAUUUUAUCUUCUUGAUUGGAAAAAUAUUUACCCUUUUGAUAAGUUUGUCUAGUAAUUAAAGUGUCCUCGGUACGCAAUUGUGUUAAGAAUUGCUUUGUGUUUGAUAUAAUGCUCUUUGCAGUUUGCACUAAACUAUCUGACUAUGUCAUGAACUUUUAGCAUCCUGGAUAUCCCCAUCUUUGAUUCAGUUCACUCGUUAAGAAAAUAUCCUGACAUUGAUCGAUCACUAAGACAAUUAUAUGCAUUUUCUGGUUGUAGGGCCAGUACAAGUCAACAUUAGUUUGUCCUAUUUGCAAAAAGGUUUCUGUUAUGUUUGAUCCGUUCAUGUACCUAUCGCUGCCUUUGCCAUGCACAUCUAUGCGAACAAUGGAUUUAACAGUCAUGAGUGCCGAUGGGGGUAGUCUGCCCGUCUCAUUGACUGUGAACGUUCCUAAGUUCGGAAAAUUUGAAGAUCUUCAGAAGGCUCUUGUUAUUGCUUGCUCUUUACCAGAUGAUGAGACUUUACUGGUUACUGAGGUAUAUUUCUAUAUCAUAUGUUGUAUUUCAUGCUUUGAUUCUCAUUUUGGUGCUUAGGCAGAGCAUUUGUUAAUACGUACAAUAUAAAUUCUCUUCUUUUGGUAUUUACUUGUUUAGGUAUACAACAAUCGGAUUCUUCGCUUCCUGGAUGAGCCUACUGAUUCAUUAACCUUGAUCAGAGAUGGUGACAAACUUGUCGUGUAUCGGUUAAAGAAAGAUGCAGACAAUUCUCCUUUGAUUGUAUUUAUGCAUCAGAAGCUGGAAGAGUAAGUUUGCCUAGUAUUUAAAUGUUACUUAAGGUUCUUAUCAAUGCAAAUUGCGCCCAGCCUGGCUUUCUUUGACCAGUGUUUUUAGACAUUAUCUGUUUGUUUAUGUUGGCAACAACAUGAUUUAAACUUCAUUAGCCUUUAUAUAAUGCAUCUCUGACAUGAUAUUCUUCAACUAAUAACUGAUACUGUAGUCUCAUAUUUAUGUCUUGGGGUACAAAAUAUGUAACCGUUUCAAUGUUUUUCAGGCAGGUUAUCCUUGGCAAAUCAAGCCCAACUUGGAAGGCAUUUGGAAUCCCCUUGGUCUCGAGGCUUUCUGAUGUUGAGAAUGGAUUUGAUGUUGAAAAAAUGUACCUGAAGUUGCUUAGUUCAUUUAAAAUGCCUACUGAACUCUUCACAGAGAAUCUUGAAAAUCCUAUUAAAGAAGAAGCCAUAGAUAAAGAAGUUACCGAUGGUACUACUUCAGUUGAGGAUACAAAUUCCACUAAUGUGAAGGAGACUGCUGAGUCUCUUUCAGAUCCAGACCCUGUGUUGAGGCUUUACCUAACCGACGACAGAGGAAGCUCAAUAGAAUCUGAAAUACUGAAAGAAAAGCCUGUAAAUAAUAAAUCCAAGCGGUUGAAUGUGCUCGCACGCUGGCCAGUAAAAGAGCUGGACGUUUAUGAUACUUGUCUUCUGAGCUCCUUACCUGAGGUUUCCAAAUUUGGAACUAAGAGACCCCAGGAAACCGUUUCGCUUUACAAGUGCCUUGAAGCAUUCUUGAAGGAAGAGCCUCUUGGUCCUGACGACAUGUGGUGAGUUGAGAAUCAAAAUUAGUUCUCGUAUCUAUCUCAAACUUUUGAUGCGUUAAAUCUUAUGAAAAUAGUGCACCUAGUUCAGUUGAUUUCGUUUUUUUUUUCUUUUCUUUCAGAUUCCCAGGUAUAUGUGACUUGUUUUAUUGUCUUUGCGUCUAGCAUUGAAAUUGUCAUUACCUUGACUUUUGCUAAUCUCUUUGUGCGCAUGGCUUGCUCUUUUACUAGUUCUCCAAGUUACUUUGAUCUUUGGUAGCUGACGUGAGUGAAAAAUCGUUUUUAGGUAUUGUCCUGGAUGCAAGGAACACCGGCAAGCCAUAAAGAAGUUGGAUCUCUGGAGGUUGCCAGAGAUACUGGUCAUUCAUCUGAAGAGGUUUUCUUAUAGCCGGUUUAUGAAGAACAAGCUGGAGGCCUAUGUGGACUUCCCGAUAGAUGGUCUCGAUCUAUCAAGCUACAUCUCCUACACAAAUGGUCAGACGACUUAUCGCUACAUGUUAUAUGCAAUCAGCAAUCACUAUGGGAGCAUGGGAGGUGGUCAUUACACUGCAUAUGUCCACGUAAGUGAUAAGAGACAUCUAUAUAUUUCUCUUGUAUGUUGUUUCAAACGUUUCAUCUAUUUUAAGCAUGUGUGUUGCAAAAUAAUGGAACGCUAGUAGAGUAGGAUAUCAGUAAACUGAAAGUUAAAUUAGACUGGAUGAGUUAUCUUACUGGACAUAUCCGUGUAGUGGGUUAAGUCCAUAGGACUUAUAAAUCUCUAACUCAUUUGUCUUCUUCUUCUUCUUCGUUUGCAGCAUGGAGGUGAUAGAUGGUACGACUUUGAUGAUAGCCAGGUGAACAAGAUAAGCCAAGAAAAGAUCAAGACCUCGGCUGCUUACGUUCUGUUCUAUAAACGUUUAGUUGAAGACAAAUGAAGGAGAAGCUGAGAAAGAGGUAACGUGCAGUUUUGACAUUGUUAGGGAAGGUUAUUUACAAACAUGAUUGGGUUGAUUCUCAUCAGUACAAGAAGAAGAAGAUCAAAGCAGCUGUGUUUGAUGCUUGUUAGAGAGAGAGGAGAGUAGGGAAGAAGAAGAAGAGCAAAAGCAGGAGAGGACAUGUUGCGGUUGCGGGGGGGGGAUUCAUUUUAUUUUUACGAAAGUUGUUUGGUGUCUGAUUAUUUCAUUUAAAAAACCAUAUUCAAUUACUAGAGUAGAAGGCAUAGAGAAAUGCCUUUGAGCAAAAACCCUUUGUGGGAUAUAUGUUCUGAUCGCUGUGUUUAGUUUGUGUCGGUUGGUUCUUGAGACCAAGAAAGUUAUUAAAAACAUGUCGACUUUUGAAUAACUGAUGCUUUUCUUUUCCUUUUUUUUUUCGAAUAAUAACGACAAUUCUAUUUUAUACCUAACAAACUUUAAAGAUGUGUAGCUAUCUGUAACGAGCGAAGUUGAGAGAGAGAGAGAGAGAGAGAGAGAGAGAGAGAGAGGAAGAGCUCGUUUGGCGUUGCUCAACCACUCGAUGGAUCCACACCUACCACUCUUCUUCUUCUUCUCCCCCUUUUAAACCCUAAAGAUCUUCUCUCUACAUCACCCACAGGCUCCAUCAUGGCCUUGUUCUUCUCUCCUCUAACCUCCGCUCUUCUCUUCCUCACCCUCUCCCUCGCCCUCUACUGCUCCAUCGACCCCUUCCACCACUGCGCCAUCUCCGACUUCCCAAACUUCGUAGCUCACGAGGUUGUCUCUCCACGUCCCGAUCAAGUUCCGUGGGAGAGAGACUCACAGAACUCUCUCCAGGGGUCCAAGAUUCUGUUCCAGGACCAAGUCCAGGGUCCCGAGAGCGUCGCCUUUGAUCCUCUAGGACGCGGUCCCUACACCGGCGUUGCUGACGGUAGGGUUUUGUUCUGGAAUGGCGAGAACUGGACUAACUUCGCUUACACGUCAAGCAAACGGUGAGUGGACUCUCUAUGUAGAAAGUUCCGGACCUUUAGCUUCAUAAUCUCUCCUAUAAUCAAAUUUUUAGAUAUUACGACUUAAAAAUAAUAUGCCGUACCACAUUAGUAUGUUUCAACUAUUUAGUUAACUUGUUUUUUGUUUUUGGUUGGUAACAACUUGUAGAACGGAGAUUUGUGAUCCGAAGCCUUCUGCUCUGAGUUACUUGAGGAAUGAGCAUAUAUGUGGGCGCCCUCUGGGUCUCCGUUUCGAUAAGAGAACCGGAGAUUUGUACAUCGCCGACGCUUAUAUGGGACUGUUGAAAGUAGGUCCUGAAGGUGGCUUAGCAACGCCGCUUGUAACUGAGGCUGAAGGUGUGCCGUUGGGGUUUACUAACGACCUUGACAUUGAUGAUGAUGGCACUGUUUACUUUACUGAUAGCAGCAUCAGUUACCAGAGAAGGUCUGCUUCUCUUGAUUCCUUUUUAACGAUUCUUAUUUUGAUUAAGAAAUGUGGUGGUCUGGUUGUGAUUUUUUUUUUUUUGUAACUGUGACAUUUUUCAGGAACUUUUUGCAGCUUGUUUUUUCUGGAGACAACACUGGGAGAGUUCUCAAGUAUGAUCCAAUAGCUAAGAAAGCUGCUGUUCUAGUCUCAGAUGUUCAGUUUCCAAAUGGUGUGUCUAUCAGCAAAGACGGUUCUUUCUUUGUUUUCUGCGAAGGGGAUAUUGGAAGGUGAGUAGUAGUUGUAGUGAAUCUGCUUCAAAAUCUUGAUGUUGUUUCCAGUGUCUGGUCAUAGUCCUAUCUUGAAGUGUAAAUAGACCUUGAAUGAGUUUUUCUCUUUGUUGUUGUUUGGAUGUAGCCUGCGAAGGUACUGGUUAAAAGGAGAGAAAGCUGGAACAUCAGAUGUGUUUGCAAUGUUACCAGGGCAUCCUGACAACGUAAGGACAAACAAAGACGGUGAAUUUUGGGUGGCGCUUCACUGCAGGCGCAACUACUACUCUUACAUAAUGGCAAGAAACCCUAAGCUAAGGAUGUUCAUACUGAGACUCCCAAUCACUGCAAGAAUACACUACAUGUUCCAAAUCGGGAUGAAGCCGCACGGAUUGGUGGUGAAGUAUAGCCCUGAAGGGAAGCUUGUGAAGGUGUUGGAAGAUAGUGAAGGGAAAGUUGUGAGAUCAGUGAGUGAAGUAGAAGAAAAAGAUGGGAAGCUUUGGUUGGGGAGUGUGUUGAUGAAUUUUGUUGCCGUCUAUGAUCUUUGAUUCCCUUAGAACAGUUUCACUGGGGUGUCUAAGUUUAGCACAUCCACAGAACAAGAGUUAGGCUUGUACGUCUGAAGAAGUAUAAAGGCAAGUAGACACAUAUGUUAAGUCGCGAAAAAAUCAAACCUAUAAUCUCUAUUGUGCUAAAUCAAAACAAACUAUUAAGAACAAAACAUAGAAAUAAUGAAACUUCACACCGAACACUUUAGUUAUAGAGUGAAAUGCACCUUUCAUAAGAACAACCAUUACCAAUUCCACAGUUUGCUUUUCAUUCUAACACCAACACAAUUUAGAUCAAAUAUAUUCGGUCUACUUGGCCAAGUUCUUGAAGAUAAUACAUAGGUAACAAUCAUAACAAUAGCAAUUAAGAACUGAUCCAGAACAGUAAUGUGAACGACACUGUCAAUUUACAACACACUGACCAACGAACAAUUGUCUUUACUGUUUCUUUAUAGUUUUAGUUUUGACAUAAUAGCACAACACAUAAGAAAGCGUAUCAUCUCUGAAACAAGCCUCCUUUUGGUCAUAUAACCUUUUCUUAUUUUUCUUUUUUUUAAGAAUCAGAAACUCUUCUUAUGCUCACACACUUUCGAACUUCCGACUCGGUAUUAUAUUAUAUAUAUAUAUAUAUAGCAGAAUUGCACGACGGAAAUCAUCUUCCAAUCUCUGCAAAGAAAAGAAACAAACAACGAAACAAGAUCUUAGAAUGUUGAGGAACAACCACUUGAUAAACCAAGCUGAAUCAGUUAAUCAAAGAGGGGAGAUCAAAACAUACCUUUGCCAACAAGACGCUGGCACUUGUUUUAUUAGCUAGAACUAGAACCAGCCGCACAUGUUUCUUUCACACCUCUUUCAUUCGAAGAAUGUUCAUCACCCGCUUCUGAUCUAUUACGCUCAUUGUUUGAUUCAGCAGGGGUGUGAUUUUCUGUGCCACUUGAUGAUGGUACAGAUGCAGUGUCAGGUCUACUACUGUUUUCUCUCGUUUCUAGACGUUCCAUCAUGCGGGACACAGUGGCGAUUCCAGCACUGACCUCUCUUUUAACCUCAGAGCCAAGUUCUGCCAUGGACGUGUUGCGAGAGAAAAAUCUAUCUUUCCAGUUCCUCGUGUUCUUUGUUAUCGAUUCCUUGUAUCUACAUUUUGUAUCAGGAAUCACUUAAGAAUUAAGACUACAAACCAAAGCUAGCCAGAUGGAGAUGUGAUACCUCGUCGAGACAGAGGUUAGACGAGACUUCAGAGAUUCAGAAAAUGAUUGGAGUUCGGAUGGUCCAGCUCUAUCUUGAUUACUUGGGGAAGACUGAUUAGGAGACCUGUGUAUGCUAAAACUAUCAGCUGCAUGUAAUUAAACAGUAAUAAGAGACAAUAAAAGGCGAGAAUUCAGGUACAGACCUGGUGUUUGAAUCAGAUGCCGAAGGAGAACCCUGGUGAUGAUGAGAAGAAGCUGGUGGUGGCUGCAUGUUUGAGUGAAGAGAACCCACCCCUAUAGUAGCAUUGUGAGGAAGGUCAGUCUCAUCUCUCUGAGAUGGAGAGGAAAGCAUGGGAGGAGGAGAAGGCGGAGCGUUAGGAGGAGGAGAGAAGACCAUGAACUGUGGAUGACCACCUUGAGUUGAUGACCUGCUGCUUCUGUGGCCUUCCCUUCUUGUCCCAUGUCUUGCACGGCCCAUAGCAGCAGCAGCAGCCAAGUGCUGAAUGAUGCGUUCUUCAAGCUCUGCAUUAUCCACCCCCGCUGGGAGCUGCAUUCAAGGAGGUUAUGGAUCUCUGUUCAGAUAAUUCACUUUGCAAAGAGAUGUAAUCAAACUCAAAAUUAUAAGAAAAAGAGUGACGCAUACAUGUUGUAAUUCAAAAUCGCCGAGAGUAGGAUGACGAAAAAUGGUGGCGUUUCUAGAUGGAUUGAAGCGGAGAUUCCUCUCCUGUACAACACCCUCGAGCAAUUCCUGACUGGUGAAACAGAGAAAGAUAAAUGAAACCUCCAUCAAAUAAAAAAUAAAAUAAAAGUAUAACAAGGAGAAAAAAAAACAAAACUAACCCAGUGGGGUCUUUGAGACUAAUAGAUUGCCAACACAUAGGGCACUGUGAACUCCUUUGACACCUGAAAUAUACAAAUGCCACAGGGAUCUGAUUAGCUAAGACAAACACAAAUUCUAGAGAGCUCCUCUUCUCCCUAAACCAAGCCAAAACACUCCAUGUUUUGUUCUUUAUGGAAAAGGACAGUAUGAAAACACAAGGGAACGUGACAAAAAGCACACACAUCCCAUUUUUGUAUACCUUUUGUCCAAGAUGAUCUAGAAACGAAAGAGCUAAAAAAAAAACAAUGAAAGAGAGAUUAUUACCACUCAAGGAUGCAUUGAAGAUGAAACUCAUGCUUGCAACUAGUCAGCUGCAAGAGAGAAGAUAGAUGGAAUAAUAAAAAAAAAACUGCAAACCCCAAAUUACAAAACAAAACAAAAAAAACAAAAACAAAAAAGGUAUAAUCUUUACAUACAGUAGAAGGAUCGCUAUCGCAGAAGGGUUCGAGACAGAUGCUACAAGCAUCAUCACAAGCCUCUUGUAUUCCCCCUUCCACGAACGCUGCUGCUGAUAUCAGAUUCCCUUCAGACGACGACGUAUCUCCAACUCCCUAGAAAAAAAUUGAACAAUACGAUUAAAAAAAAAAGGAUUCGAUUUGAUUUCAUCCUCGGGCACAAUUGAAAUUCAAAACCCUAACCUCCAUUGAAAUCGCGAUUUGGAUAGGACGAUCGAAGAAAUCAAUCUAGGGUUGGGAGAGAAAACGAAACCCUGGACUCAUGAUAAGAUAAAAGACUCUUCCUUUUCCUCUUCGCGUCGUCUCUCUGUUGUUGACACACACGAUCGAAGAAAUCUAGGGUUCCUUUUUUCUUUUUAUUUUUUUAUUUCAACGCCCAUUAAAUUAAAUAAAUAAACAAUGACUGGGUCUUAUUAGAUUAAAACACGUGUUGAUUCUGAGUUUUCUCCGUGUACUUUUCAGUUUUCACACUACUGUACAUUUUCUCGCUCGAGUGGACCAGCUUUUGCUUCAACACCAAGUUGGAUGUACGAUAAAGACAUAAGUUUCAUUGGUCUCAUACGCUCCAUAUUCUCCAUGAGGCCUCAAAAUUUCUGCAUCUAAAACCACACACUCCUCCUCCUUACUUUAUAAAGGACUUAGUUUGGUUUGAUUAGUUUCAUCUUAAUAAUACUACUCAUAAAGCUGAGCACCUUCCUUCUCCAGUAGCACGUUCGUGAUCAUUCAUUACUAAUCUUGAAAAUUUUUUAGUCUUCAACAGCCAUGAUGGUCUACAUUUAAUUGUUCUCUGAUAAAGUGUUGUUGUUUCUGGUUGUUGUCUUUCACUCUUUUGUCUUUCCAGGACGAUACUUAAUGUAGUAGUAGCAAUAGUGUUGAAUAAUUGUAUGGUUUAAAAGAUAAGACUAAUAUCUAAAUCAAAAUUCUUUUUAACAUUAUUAUAAAAUUAAAAACACUAUAUAUAUGAUGGAAAGAAAUUUAGACAAAAGAUAUGGGUUACAAAGCCUGCAGAGAGCAGAGAAACAAAAAACGUUGGGAGUCGAUGUUACAGUUUUACAAACUACCAACCCAAACCAAAGACUGGUCUUUAGUGUAAGGGUUCAAGUCUUGAAGAGACCUUUGUUGUUUCAUUUUACCUUCCAAUGUAGCAGAGACGAUGAAGAACCAUUGCUAAAACGAGUAUGCAUAUUGCAAAGAUCAACCCUCCUUUCCCUAGCAACCACUUCUUUGCUUUCUUCGCUUUCUCUAUCCCCGUUUGUGCCCUAUCCGCCCAUCUCAUCUGCACAAACAACAAUACCAAAUGAGAGACAUGUAACUUUAUAUUAAAAGAUUAGUCUGUUUUCCUUUACCAUUUUCUCCAAAGCUUCAGGAGAAAGAGAAGCCAUGGCUUCUUGAGCUUUUGCAGCAUCUUCUUGAGAAAGCUUCAUCCCCAACUGUUCGCUCAUGCUAGCCAUCAUCUCCGGAUUCAUAUUCUUUAUCAUAGACGUGAACAUCUACCAUAAAAUACAUUACAAUAUAUGAACAUCUUCUACAAUCACAUUUAUGUUUCCUAAAUAGUUAAAAUAUAUUUUAAAAAACAAAACAAAACCUGUCGCAUGGCUGGAUCUUUCAUUUGGUUUCUCAUCUGUUCCUGCAAGUCAGCAGGCGGAGCAGAAGGCAUGCUUCUUGGAGCCACGAAGGAACUAGACUCGCCUACAACACUACUAACCCGUGGUGGUUCAGAUCCUUCCCCAUCGCUGUACGAUGUUGACGCUGGAGCGUUUGCUUUCAACGACGACGCCAUGUUGAACAUCCUCUCACGCUCUUCUGGUGACAUCUUACUCAUCAUAUCAGACGCCAUUUUAAGCAUGUCUGGUGUUGGUGCAAACCCGUUUUCCCCAGGGCUGUCUCCUUUGAACGACGAGGAGGCUGCCUGGACCAUUUUCUGAAUCUCUUCGGGUGACAUUUUACCUAUCAUGCUGGAAGCGGUUUUGAACAUGUCUGGUGACAUGUCUCCAGCUUUGCCUCCGCUCAAAGCAGCGAGUGUGUCGGGAUCAGUCUUUGAAAUAAAGUUCUGGAACGUUCUGAAGGCCAAAAGGAGUGAACGAUUAGGAGACAAAACAGAUGAACAAAGACAUAUCUAUACAGUAGUUUGGAAACGGUGUUGAACCUGAUUGCUUCAGGGUCGUCUUUGAGAGCCUGCAAGCCAUCAAGAUCCGUUUUUAGACCACCACCGUUGUUGCUUUCUCGUUGUGUCUCAUUAAUAGGUUUAUUACUUUCUCCAGAAGUAACAGUGUUGUCUUCAGUUAUCUCUUCAAUCACAACACCUAGCAACCAAACAAAGUAACAAUAUUCAGUUGUUUUAAUAGAUGAAGCAGAACAUCGAUGCAGCUAAGAACCGUUUGGUGUGAGAAAAAUAAACUAUUUCGAAAUUUUAAUAAGAGAAUAAGAUUAAGAUUAUACCUCUUGCUGAUGCCUUGCCAGGUCCCUCAACCGCCAAUUUUUCCUUAACAUCUCUGCAUAAAUUAAAACAUAUUUAUUUUCAAAAUGUCGAUAUCCCAACUUCAGAAUUAACUAUAAAAAAAAUCCAUACCUUAGAACAUCGGCAAUGGUCUCAUCUUCAGGGGAAACUUCAUGGGCCUUGCUUAGAUCGGAUACGGCAUCCUUAUAGUUUUAUAAAAGUCAAUGAGCAAACAUAUACAUACUUACAAGGAAUCUCAAGAAACUUCCAUAAGAACGAAACAGAAGAGCUCACUUGAAACAGACCAAGAUCUCUGUAAGCUUGACCCCUUCUGUAUAGUGCUUUGACAUUUGUUGCGUCAUAUGCCAAAACCUGCAUUAAUAGUUAAUAAUGUAAGUUCAUCAGAAGAACACCGAGACAGGAUGACAUUAUCUGUUACAUCUACCAAAAACGAAGCUAAUAGAUUGUUAGAAAAUCAAGAACAUAAACAAAGGUGCAGCAUACCUCGGAACCUUCCUUGAUGCACUCUUGAUGCUGAUUGGUCCUCAAAUAACAUGACAUGAGAUUGAGGGAACAAGCCAACAAAAGCGCUCCACCUUUAGAAGACGGAAUGUCCUUCAGAUUAUUCUUCGCCUGUUAUAUGGUGUAAAGAUAUAAAGACUCUUUUUCUGAUAAACAAAGAAAGUCAAGUAGCAUGACAAAAGAUAUGAAGUAGUCUUACACGCAAAUAUUUCUCUGCAGCACCACUGAAAUUUCCUCUGCUAUGAAGCUCAUUCCCCUGCCGAAUACAUACAAAUUAGCAACCGUUUCAGGAUCAAAUAAUAGAAACUCAAAAGUAGUACCUGUUUUUUCAGCAUCUGAGCUGCGUUGAUUUGAUAAGUGAAGUGAGCAUCAGCUUGGGCACGCAUAGCUGCAAUCUCCUCAGGGGAAGCAUUAGCCAUCUUCUCGCCAAUCUGAGCCAUAUCCUCAGGCCUAGUAUGCUUGAGCUGUUCAGCAGCUUGUUUCAAAUCUUCAGGCCUCAUGUUCUGCAUACUCUCCGUUGCCAUCUUCAUCAAAUCCGGAUUCGACAUCAUCUGUAUUUUACAAUUGAUAAUAAACUACUCAUCAUACAACAAAAAAAAAAAACAGUAAAAAUCACAUACUAACAUCGUUAUAAAAAAAUUAAACUAUAUUUUUUUUUUCUAGUUCGGUCUUUGUUUUGUUUCUGAACACAUACAAAGUACACUUAUGCCUGUCCUAACAAAAAAAAGUACAAACUAACUUUAUGUCCUAAUAAUAUAUAUUGCACAGAUUAGGACAUUGCAUUCGACAAGUAAGCUUUGAAUUAAGCAUCACAAUCACAAUCACAUCACGAUCAAAGAAGACCUGUUGUUGGAUUCUGGCGAAAUCGGCUGGAGUCAUACGGCUCAUCUGAUCUUGAGCGAGACGAAUCAUCUCAGGAUCCAUCAUCCCGUUAAACAUCUUCCUUCUUCUUCUUCUUCGAUGGGGUUGUCUGGGAUCAGAUCGGUUAAACUUUGAAAUUGAGAGAGAAUUGGGUUCUAUUCUAUAAUAAGUUGUACAAUUGCAAAUCCACCACAACCACCUCUUCAAUUGACCGACCGGAAUAUGCCUGGAGCUGCUUAAUUACUUAUUUGCCCUUCCCCUUUAACGAGGUAAUGACGUGUCGUGGUAUUUUAAUUAAUCAGUUAGUUGGAAUAUUAAUUAGGGUCCAAUAAGUAUGGAAUCCAUGUGGCCAUCAUGUCCUUGUCCAUGUUGGAACAACGAAACGACGUGAAGCAAGAAACCCAAUCUCUCAUGUUUUUGUUUUCAUUAACAUAAAACUUGUAAACCUCAUUUUCCUUUCGUAGUUGCUUUUUGUCCAUGUUCGUAAUUGCACUGCAUCUAACGAGUUACCAAAAAAAUCAAUUCGAAAAAUAUAUAGAACCUAGUUUUAAAUAUAAUUUUUUUUUACAGCGAAAAAAGAAAAAAAUUAUAGAUAAUUUAAUAUAGCUAAUUUUAAUACAAGUUUUUAGACAUAAUUAUAUAACUUUUUAUAGAUAAUUUUAAACAGUCUCUUCUUGAUUUGUCGAACAUUUACAUUAUAGUUUGUUUGAUAUGAAAAAAUUUCCAAAUGUAUGUGUUUGUUUUGGGUUUGAAUAAUGGUUUUAGACUUCAUAGCUAAAUGUAAUUAUUUGGUAAUAGAUAAUUACACAAAAUUUGUCAAUAAUGAGUAGAAAAUAAUCAACCAUUUGUCAACUUUAGUAGAAAAAAAACUUUACGCAGUCAAUGCAGAAAUUACGCGGAUCACGGAUCAGUGCAGUCAACGCCUUCUUUUUUUGCUGCCGUCCACACAAAAAAAAACAUGUUUUUUUUUGUUGAUGUUUCCGUUGGGUUCUACUAUAAACCCAGCCCAAAUACACAAAUACAAACUAUAUUAACAUAAUUCAGCCCAAAAAAGCCUGGUGUUACAAGAGACUGUUUAGUUAAAGUCCAAGUAGGCCCAGUUCGUGGAAACCCGAGUGAUCGAGUCACAGUCAAGGAUAAAGAUGAUCGAGCUCGAAACGAUGGCAGUGCCAGAUCCAGCAAUCUUUGAAUAUCACUCCGGGUCAUCAUAGUCACAGUGAUGCUAAUAAGCCAUGCUUUACCAUUUAUACUACUAAUUUUUCAAUAUUUACAGUCAGUAAACAGUGAUGAUUUUAUAGCAAUAUAUAAGAGGGCGAAAAAAAAGAGUUGGGGGAUGGUGGAAGGAAACAGAAGGCUUUGAUUGUUGUCGGGACGUGGAGGAUCUCACGUGGCAUGCCACUUGUCAUCAGAACCUUUCUUUAUUACACCAUCACAACUUGUACGGUUGCCGUUCUGAUUAGGAUGCAUCACCAUCAGUUCUCAUCACUACCUUUCCAAUAAGGGAAAACGCACUCUUUCGUUUUUAUUGAGAUCAUAUCAAAUUUCAUUAUAUUGAGAUCAUGUAUAUUCAUUCUUUAGGUUUUUUAGCAACAUGUCGUUUUUGUAUAUAUACUUGAUUGACAUACAUGGAUCAUGGUAAAGGGUUGAGAUAGAAUAAUAGACCAAACGUUUCCAUAGGAUCAUCUCCUAAGUAAUAGGAUUACUGAUCAUUUCUAUGAACUGAUCUCAUGCUAAGAACUAACAACGCGUACAACCUUUACUAUUGGAAUAUGAAGAUUCCAGUCGUAAUCAAUCGCGUAUAGCUUUUGUUUAAUACGAUUUAUACCUGUGUACUAUCUCUCUGUUCGUUUAAGUUGUACGUAUGUUCUUUUAUGUCGAGAUUAAAUAAGAUGAUGGUUACAGUAAUUAACAACCAAAAGAGUCUUAUAAAACAAGAAUCAAAUAAUUGAACCUCAGCAGGNNNNNNNNNNNNNNNNNNNNNNNNNNNNNNNNNNNNNNNNNNNCAGCAGGAAAAUAUUUAUGAGUAAUUGGAGAAUUCGAUUCUAUUCAGGGUAGAUACAGAGCUGAGAUGAGUGUGUGUGUGGCCGUCUUGUGAAUAAAGUUCUUCAAUUAAGCAUACAAUCAAACAUAUAGAUUGGAAAUCAUGUUUAUCCAUUUGUCAAGGUAUGUCAACAUAUGUUUAAAUAAUAUGUAUUUUUAGGAUCAGAUUUUACGAGUUAAAUUUUUUUCUACAACAAAUAUCGAGAUAACAAAAAAAUAUAUUCUGAAGAAUAUGUUAUUUUUUUGGGUAAAAAAAUUCUUGCAAACAAAGUUUCACCAUAAAACUAAGAGCAUAAUUAAUGGGAAAUUCUUAUAAUGAAUUCUUAUAUUCCGCUAAAAACCACCCUAAAAACCCGUAUGACCUCAUCAAUGAAACCAAAGGAGCAUGUAAGUUGUUAUGUUCCAUAUAUAUGUGACGCUCUCAUAGACCCCAACAAAUACAAUGAACGGACAGUUCAUAGAUUUUGACGGAACUGUUGCGACAUUAAAACGAAUGGUCCUAUAUACAAUAUCAAUUUGACGUUCAUCAAAUGUCAUUCUCGAAUUAAAUUAUGAAUUCCUAAUAAGCUUGAUUCAGGGAAGAAGGAACGGUCGAUAUGAUAUCAUACUUUCAUAUUAAAUAGAUUAGUAGAAGGUGGUGUCUAACUUCUAAGGAUUUUGUUUUUGUACUUGCAUAGCAAGUUAAGUUGGCAAGUACAUACAAAUGCACGCUGAUUGUGUUUAGCAAAUUUGAAGUUUCUUUAGAUGUUUAAAUGCAAAUCCAGAUUGUGACAACCAAAAUAAUUAUAUUUGCUUGGGCAUUGGUGUGAACGGAAUCCAUUAGAAGAGGCUAUGAUUGGAUGAAUUGGUGGCCUCUCAACAAAAAUAAAACCAAAAUCAUUUGCAUCUUUAUCCACUUAUUCACAUCUCUCGUCUUUAUCUGCAUUUUAUCUUCUUCUUUUUUGUGUGUUCUUUUAGCGGGGUAUCCUUCGUCCUUUUAAAGUAUCCCACGGCAAGAUAUUUUGAAAACAUAGUGUAUUAGUAAUUGGGGACCAAAGAAAAAAACAGAAAAAACCCAUAAUAUAUUUCAGACUUUGUGUUAUGAAAAUCUUCAUACAUCUUUUCGAAACCGAUUAUAAAAUAUUUUAUAUACUAAAACACAAGUCACAAUAAGAUUUUACCACAUGUUAUUGUUUUACAAAUAAAAAAGUUAAUUAAUUAUCAACAUAAAGAUUAAAGGAAAAUUGCACCCUAUAUACAUGAAAAAUACUUAUAUAUACUAACUAACCAAAAUUUCCCCCUCUCUCCUACUUUCUCUUCCUAUCUCUCUCUACUCUCUCUUCCAAAAUUUAAUUUUCAUUUUUUUUUGAUUAUUUGGUAAAUAAGCCCAAAAUUAAAAACUAUCGCAAAUAAACCAACUGAAAAAAAGAAAUGUCUCCAAUCAAAAAAGAGCUCCACUAACCACGAUCUCUAAUUUUUUAAAACUGUAAAAUCUUAAAUUCCUAAAUUUUUUCUAAUGAACACCUUAUUUCAUGGCACAAUUUCAAACUGUUUCAUCUAUAACUUAUUUCUUCUCUGUCUUCUAUCCUUCUCUCUUAUUCUAUGUCGUUUGUUUCUUCGUAAUCUUUUGGGUUUUGAGUGUUGGAACAAUAACUAUAUAGCUUAUGACUUCAUUAUGUCCAAGUUCGGUGUUUCUUCUUAAAGCAAUACUCUCAUAUUCUUUUUGUUCAGCUUCAAGUUGUUUUAAUAGAUUAUUCAUAGGAAGACUAAGGGACAACGAGACUGGGCAUAUAGAUUUUAAAAAUCUGAAAUGGAAAUACAAAGUAAAUAUUUUAUCACUUUUCUUUUAGUUAACUAUGCAAAGUUUCAGCGUUAUUGAGUUUUCUGGGAUAAAUUGUUUCGUAUAUUAUGGAUAUAGUACAAAAGAAAUGGUGCUCAUCUUUCCUAUUAAGAACGUGAAGAUGGAGAGAAAAAACGUGAAGAUGGCAUAUCGGUGGUGCUGUGUAGACUGAGAUUAAGGUAAUAUUUUAUAGAGGUAUUUUAGCUUAUUUUGUAAAUUGUUAUAAUUUUCUAGAUAUAUUAUAUAUUCACAAUUUAUGACUUUAUGUAUAUAUAUAUAUAUGAACACUCUUCAAUAUCUCUUGACACGCGGUAAUAGGAGGCGAUAAUCUGUAUGGAGUUGGUAUAUUUUUAACUCAAAAAUGUAAUAGCAAUACAUGUUAAAUUUCUAUGAUAAUUUGAUAUAAAAAUAAGUAUUUUUCCCCGUACGCAGUAUAGUUAUAAACCACAUUGAGAAAAGGUGAAACACCAACCAUAAAACCUUCUUUGGUGUACUCCAAAAUGAUUAAAUUUCUUGCUGAAGUAUAUUAGUAAGACGAACUAUAUAUAUUUCAUUACAACUUGGAAACAACAAUGGAGAACCAGUCGCACCCUAAAACAACACGCACCGACUUUUACUACGGACUACGAGAUUGAUCGAGGUCCAAUGGCAAGGCCAUACACCCGUUUGGCUUCUCAUAGCUCACUAAGAUUUUUCUUUAAAAUGCUCAUGGAAUUGUCAUUUUUCUAAAGUAACCUAUUUACCAACUUACGAUUUUGGACUUCUAUUAGUUCGUUUACUAUAAAUAGCAUAAAGUUUUGCACAUAUAUACGGUCACAUACGAAUAAAGAUAAAAGUAACAGUCAUGUACAUGAACUACUCCCAAUUAAAAAUGAUAUAAACAAGGGAAAUUUUCCUGGAUAGCUUUUUUUAGUUUUUGUUAUAAAAAGAGUAUACACGGAAAAAAAUGACCAAAACAGUUUUAUUAAAAAGAUAAAUAAAAUUUCUACUUCUUGCUUUAUAGAUAUAUAAAUAAUAAUAAAAGUUAUAAUUUUGAAUUAUAUGUUUUUAAAUUCAAACUUUUUAUAUUUUUUUGAAAUUUAAUGCUUUUUGAAACUGUUUUAAAAAAAAAAUAUUUUAAAAUUUUAAUAUUUAUUUUCUAUUUGUAAAAUUUCCAAAGUCUAGGAUUAGAAGUUCUUUAAUAAACUCUAUACGAGAAAUUCCCUAGAAUAGCCAUAUUUAAGUUUUUGUCACAAAAAUAGCUUUUAAUGAAGAAAAUGAUCAAAAUAAGUUUUAUUAAAAGAUAAAAAUGUAUUUUUACCUUAAGGUUAACUAAUCUAGACGUAGGAUUUAAAGUUAAAGGGUGGAGCUUUGGUGAUAGGGUUUCAACUUUUAAAAAAUAUAAAAUAAAUAUUAAAAUUUCAAAAUAAAAAAAGGUUAUUUUGGUCAUUUUCUUUCUUGAAUGCUAUUUUUUGUGACAAAAACUUAAAAAAUGUCUAUUUGAGAGAAUUGCCCAAUCUAUAUUAGUUAUUUUCUUUAUUAGAGGUUUUUUUGUGAAAAUAAACUAAAAAAAAAUCAUAUGGAAUUUCUCUGUAAACAAAGUAUGUAAUUCUCUUAUGGACGUAAAAUAACAUUUCUAUAAAUGUAAAAAAAAAUAUAUUUACUUACAGUGAUCUAUAAACAAAAAGUUAAUAAAUACGAAUGACGUUGGGUGGUCCAAAGUUGGCAACUAAAUGAUAAACGUUGAAGCGCAUAUGCAUGCAUAUAGUUCAGAGAACCACCACAAUUAUAUAAGGAUAAAUUCUUAUUAGCUAGAAGAUCAAUUUUUUUAGGGGGGCGGGGUAGAUUAUAUUGAUAAUGUGGCCUUUGGUUGGUGGGGAGGACUACAAGAGACUAAGAGAGUAUUACCGAAGAUGAUGAUUACGAACGAACUAUGGAUGAAGAAAACUCAAGAUCUCACCUCUACUUUCGGUUGCUAUUGAGUUGAUCUCAAAGUAACUCAAUCUGUUACGAGUGUCAGAUGACAAUAUUCUUCUUCCAUGAUUGACUCGAGAUAUUUUGUACAUAAUAUAUGUUAAAUUUCAUAUAUAUCUAAUAAAAUGUAUCACCAAUAUAAUUGUUAGAAAAAAAGUAUCACAAUAUAAUAUUAUUACCAUAUGUGGAAAAUAAACAAGUUUCACUUUUCACCAAAACUCAAAAGUCACCACAUCUGAUUAUCAAGGAAAUCCAGCUACACAUUCGAGCAACGCUUCUCGGUUUGGACAGGGAAGGACUAGUCAAGCAUCCUACUGCAGCACCAAAUCUCACGAGACCACCAAAAAAUACUUACCUUUCACUAUGGUUUGAGCAUUUCCAGAGAUAAAUGUCAUUUCCUAAUCCUAUAUUUUCCCGCUUAACAUGGGCUUUAUUUUCUUGUAUCAUUUUAUCUUUCACUUCUUUCUUCUUUCAUUCUCCCAGCUGAGCUGUUUUGUAAACGUACUUUGAGAAGGAAGAAAUUUUUAAAAAAUGAAAGAAAACUUAUCAAUAAAAAAAAACUCAAAAGUCAUGUACUGGGGCAAGACGAUGUAGUUGAAUGUGAAGAAGAUAUUGUAGUUGCAGAUUGUAGAUAUCCACGUGCUAUAUAAUUCAUGCACGUUGAACUCUUAAUAUUCUUACGCCGGUAUAUGUUUUUAAAUGUAUAAAAUACUAGAAGUGAAAUAUUAUAAAUGAUGGUUAGAUCCAUUUGUUUUCUUCGGAAAGCAAUAUAUUUCUUAAGGUCAAAUUUAGUUCAAUAGCUAUAUAUAUUUCCAAUUACAAGUUUCUUUUAAUCUUUCAGAUUACAACUUAAAAUUCGCUUUUUACUAAAAACUACAGUUCUACGAUCUAAUUAACUAGUUACCGCAAGAUCAAUGGUCUAUAAUUGUAGGGGCAAUAUUAAAUUAAUUAAAUGAAUAGAUGAGACUCGGGAGAGGAAGAGGUCAAGAGCACUUGCAAUAGGGAUUUUAUCCAUCGGAAUUUUUAAAGUGUACAUUUUUAUAUGUAUAUAUUAUAUACACGUAUGUAAUUAUGAAGUUCACUAUUUUUGUAAAGAACCCAAUCUAAAGUAGUGGACUCUAUAGUUACAUAUAUAUAUAUAUAUAUAUACAAAUAUGCACUUUUAAAACUCUAAUAGAUAGAAUUUCUAACGGAAGUGUUCUUAUAUUCAACGGAAACUAAGGAAUGGUAGACUUUCUCUCUCUUUUUUCUCUGAGAUUUUGAGAGUUUGAAAAUCAUGGUGAUUCCUCUCUGAACAGAGAUUACCGGUUCCGAUACACGGUGGUCCCCUCGACAGAGAGUAGCCGGCUUUGUUUCUGGUGGUUCGCGCUCCCUUUGGCGGAACUAUCCGGCGGUUUGUGGCGAUGAAGCUCUGAUGGUGUCGUUGCAUUAUGUCUCGAGCCGUUUCAUUCGCCUGCGGUGGAGAUCGGAUGUUUGGGUUGUUGAAGUUGGGUCCCUCGGGAGUAAUCGAGGUAUGUGUUGGGUUUGUGGUGUUUGUGGACCUCAGAAUGGAUGAGAUCUCGAUCUUGUUUUGAUUGAUCUUUCUAGCGUACGAUUGAAGAAGUUGUUCCCAAUAACCUUCCAAUACAGUCGUUGGAGGUGGUUGCGGUGAUUCUAGUUAAGGUCUGGGGUGAAUUUGGUGUCGUCGUUCUGAUCCCGGCGUGUUCUGGCGAAGCUCGUGGUUGUUUUCCGUUUUCGUCGACGUUAGCCUCGCGUUUGGGUCGCGUUCGGUGGCGGUGUCUGGUUGUGUGACGCGUGUCUUGCCUUGGUGUUUUGGGCUGAUAUUUGUUUUAAACUGUCGUUAAAUGCAACACGGGUUUUUAUUGACGUGUUUUCGUGUCGGUUUGUCUGACUUUGUUGUUUGGACCUGAGGCCGUUUGUAUUUUUGUCUUCCGUUUGGUCCGAUGGUUUAGACUUUUAAGGGUUGGGCCUUGCUAUAUGAUUUUUUUUGGUGUUUGGGCUUGGUCCGUUUAAUAAAAUAAAAUAUGGAUGGAAAAAAAAGUGCUCUUAUAUUCAACACCCACAUCGAAAGCAGUAAUUAUUGACUCUUAAGUUUACGUGUUUACCAAACUACUAUACACUCUUUUUCUCUUUGGUCUACCGUUGAUUCUUUCUUUGUUCCAAUAUUACCAAUAGUCCAAUACCGUUGACUCUUUCUUUGUCUCAUACAUACCUGAUCUGCUUACCGGGGAAAUGAUCUAAAAUUUUAGUAUUUUAAGUAUUUAGAUUUUGAGUAUUGUCUCAUACAUACCUGAUCUGCUUACCGGGAGAAAUUAUCUAAAAUUUUAGUAUUUUAAGUAUUUAGUUUUUAAGUAACCGAAUUAAAUUCGAAUCCCCUAUAUAUUAAUUGAGAAACAUUUGAAAAGUUGUAACCUCAAUUUUGUAUUAAUUAAAAGAAGCCUCAAUGCAUAGGUGGCACUCAAUUAGGUAGUCAAUUACAUUCAAUUGAAAAAUAAGUAGGUCCACAUUCGAUUUUUAUAUGUUGUUAGAUACAUAAGUUGGUCAAACUAUAUGAUAUAAUGAUAUGAUAUGUUUUGUUAUCGAUGAUUUAAAUAUUUUGUUAUAAAACGAUAUGAAUGAUCAUAGAACCGUAUGAUUAUAAAUUCUUAUAUAAUAAAUAACUAUACAAAAUAUACUAUUCUUAGAAAAAUAGGUUGUUUCAUUUUAACUUAUAUUACACUUUUUAUUAAACUAACUAUCGAAUUGAUAAAUAACGUACCAAAAAAUGUUUUGCUCUUUCCUUAAAUAAAAGCUACGAAAUUACCUAAUAUGAUUAACGUAUAUGUGAAAAUUAAUUAUUAUAAAUAAUAAAUAUUUGAUAACAAUUUUUGUGUCUUAGUUCUUUUUUUUUAAUUUUAUAUUAUUAAAAGAUAUUUAAAAAUCACAUUAAAUAUAUAAUAAAAACAUUUAUAUUUUUUCUUAUAUAUUAUAUUUUGAAUUUUUCAAAACGUCUAUAAAUUAUUAGAAAUUUGAAGAUUCCCACUCUGAAAAUUUUGUGAUCAAUAGAUUAUUAGAAAUGUUUAUUCCGCGCAAUGUUAUUAUCUAAGAUAUUACAUCAACUAAGUGGUUAACACUUGCCACACCUCUGUCACUCGGUCCUUUUAGCAAUAUAAAUAUUUAUAGCAAUAUUGUAGAAGAAGAUCCACACUUAUUUCUUCGGCCGCAAUUCUUUUCAUUUUACUUCAUCGGUGGCCCAUAUGUAUAUAUACAUAUACUUACUUUUCAACCAUAUGUAUUAAUGCUGAAAUGCAAAGAUGAAUUAAUUCACUACACGGUUAUGAUUUACUCAGUGUACACAUAAACUUUGUAACGAGCUAGUAAACCUAGUUUAGAGUAAGACAGACUCUUCUAGAAUUGAGAAAUAAAAAACGAAUUUUAAUACUCAUCAACAAGAGAUUGGCAUUUUUUAACCAAUAUGUAUAUUAGUAUAUAUAGCUGAAUACUAGAUUUUUACCACUUGAAUAGUUAAGUGUGUGAAACUAGAAUUGGAAAUUGGCCGUAUUUUAUCAAAGUGUUGAGUUUCUUGACAAUGAAAGGGAAGAGAGAAGAGGGAUAUAUAAUUGAAUUUGAAAGAAGCCUCGAAUUUGGACUGUCUGCGUAUGCAUCCCCACUGUUGCAUGCAGACACAUUUUCACCAUACCUCCGCUUCUCUCAGUCUGAUGAUGUCAUAAUCUCAGACUUUUGUGAAAUAAUACCUAUUACUACAACUCGAAUUCUACAUGCAAUAAUAAAAGGGUUCAGACAAUUGGCUACCUUUAUCUUUUAUUACUGUCCUCGAGCUAGUUUGAAAGUAUUUGAGUAACUGAAAAAGUUACCUGAUUACUUCUUGUCACUAAAUAGACUAUGUCAAAAGAGAGCGGUAGAUCAUUCGCAGCAUAUGAGUAGAUUAAAGAGCAGCAGUAUUUAAACGAGCAUUUGUUUAUCUUCAUGUAGAUGGGGCCCCACUGUACUUCAGACAAAGGCUUUUAACAGAGGACUAGUGUCAUAUGGAUUCUCUUCCGUUUAGUUCCCAAAAUACCCUCCUUCUUUCUUUUAAGAGAUUCUCAAACCUCCAAAUUGCUACAUAACCCUAAUUUCCUUGUCCAUUUAGAAUCAGCAAAAACAAAAUCUUUUGUCACUAUAAAACCCUUUUUGUUUUGUUCGAAGUCAUCUUCUUAAUAUUAUUAAAAUUAUAUAUCAAAAAUGAUAUUCAACAAUUUUAGAAUUGUUUCCCUAAACUAAAACAUGCACUUGAAAAAAAGUUUCCCUUGUUUGGGCCAAGAUUUCUCUCUCGCUAAGAUAUCUCAUUUAGUGGGUGGAGCACAGCUGUCAUAAAAAAGUGCCACGUCCGCCUCAAAACUUAUCCUUUCUGAUCGUUUUGCGCUGGAAUCUUCAAGAGUUUCUAGGGUUUGUUCAUAAUAUCGACGGUGAAGAUAAAAAUUUCCAGGCAAUUAUAAUCAUCAGUCAAGAUGUCGCACGCGAUGGAUAAAGCUAUGAUGGAGUUAUCGUUGGAUGAGGAAGAUGAACCUUUUGAUAUGCCGAAUCUUCCCCAAUACAGAUCGUGUGAAAGAAAUUCCAGAAGUCUGGUUGGUAGGAUUUUGAAUCCAGACUGUCAGAAGAUGCCGGGUCUGAUUAGAAAUAUGCCAAGGAGCUGGCAGAAGCAAGGAAGGGUUAGGGGAAUCGCCUUGUCUAAAGAACGCUUUCAAUUCAUUUUUGAUCAUGAGCAUGAUCUGUUGGAGGUUUUAGAAAAAGGGGUUCAUACCUUCAAUGAGUGGGCGCUUGCAAUUGAUCGAUGGGUUGAGUAUCCCCCAGCAGAUUAUCUUCAGUUUAUUCCUAUCUGGAUACAGAUUAGGAAUUUGCCGAUCAAUUACUAUACGAGGGAAGCUAUUACAGCGCUGGGUGAAAGGAUCUUUGGUGAUGUGAAAAAUGUAGCCUUUGAUCCAAACAAGCCUCAGAUUCAAGACUACGUUCGCAUUCUGGUUCGGUUUGAUGUGUCUAGACCUCUGUGGAAGUCGAAAGUUGUGAACUUACCGGAGGGGGGUUCCACGGUUGUCCAUUUCAACUAUGAGAGAGUUAAGAAGAGGUGCUAUGAAUGUCAACGAUUGAAUCAUGAGAAGGAUGUCUGUCCGUUGAUAGUUAGGAAACGAAGAGAUGAUGCAACGCAGAGAAGAGAGCGAGUCAUGAUGGAUGUCAAUCAAAACAAGCCUAUCCUUACACCUGGUGACCCGCUUUUUGGAGUUCUUUCUGAAGAGCAAGUGGGUUUUUGUAAGACAACGGGAAGAAGGAAAAUUUCACCAGAGGUGCUGGAUGAGAUGAGAAGGUACUUGCUGUUGGCAACAGAGGAAGAUAAAGUUAUCCGCUUUGAUCGUGUUAAAUCUUCUGUUGCUGAAGCUGAGAAAGAUCCUCUCCUUCAGAAGACGAUGUUGCGUCUAGAGGCUCCUACUAUUUUCACUGAUCAGGUGGAUAAAGGAAAAGGCAUUGUAUUUGAUUUUGACCUUAACACUGUAGCAGAGUUGAAACAGCAAGGUCAAGGAGGGGAGUUGAAACUGAUGGCUUCUGCGUUUAAGGCUGGUAAUGCGGGGAAGGGACUGCAGGUGGCAUCUUUUAAGCAGUCUAAGAAGCGGGAUGACCUUAUGAGAGAUGUUUGUUCUCCAUCAACUGAUUACCUUCAGGCUUCUUCCUCUAAGGACUUCAUUGGUUUAAAGGAUUCUUCUUUUUCUUUGGAUGUUAACUCAACGGAAUAUGGUCCUGGAUACCCUGUAUCUAAACCAUCCGGGGUUGCACAGAGAAAUUCUAAUCAAAGAAGAAGAAGACCUUAUAUUAAGAAAAGGAAGGAGCAGAAGGGUGGAUCAACGGGUAUCCUCCAUGAGUUAUAUGGAGAUAAGGAAGGAGAUGAAAGAACAGGGUCUAAGAGAUCAGCUUCUGGAGCAUGCUUCGAAGAUCACAGAGUUGUGUGGUGCAAAGAACCAAGGGUGAUCCCGAAUGAGGGAUCGCCGAAGUCUCAAUGAGCAUAAUUAGUUGGAAUUGUCAGGGCCUGGGGCGGCCUCAGGGCCUGACAAUUUCACGCCUGCGGGAGAUGCGUGAAAAACAUUUUCCGGAGGUACUUGUGCUCAUGGAAACGAUGAAUUGUAGAAAUGUUUUGGUAGAUUUGCAAGUCUGGCUGGGGUAUGAUAGAGUAUAUACUGUAGACCCUGUAGGCCAUGGCAACUCGAGGGAUAGGAUUUCUCAGAUUGAGAUUGCUCUGGAAUAUGAACAAUCAGCCAUGCUGCAAUGAACAGAACGUAUUUGCUUUUUUAAGCAAGAAUUGGUUAAGGCUCAGAGAGAUGAAGAGUUGUAUUGGUGGCAGAAGAGUAAAGAUAAAUGGUUGGCUAGAGGAGAUAAAAACUCAAGAUUUUUCCAUAUCUCUGUCAGAGCUUCUCGAGCAAGAAAUUCAAUUGAUAAGCUCCUAAACCCUCAGGGAGUUGAAGUUUACUCGGAAGCAGAUAAAGGAAAAGUUGCUGUGGAUUUUUAUACUAAUCUCUUUCGAUCAUCCAAUCCAGCUCCGUUUUCAGAGUGGUUCCAGGAUUUACAACCGCGAGUCUCUACUCUUAUGAAUAGAGAGCUGACCAGACCAGUUUCAGCUUUGGAGAUCCGGGAUGCGGUUUUCUCUAUAAAUCCAUCAAAGGCUCCUGGUCCUGAUGGCAUGUCUGCUCUCUUCUUUCAGAGUUUUUGGACGACGGUGGAAGCGCAGGUGGUUCGGGAAGUUCAGAGGUUCUUUCACUUUGGAGUUCUUCCGAAAGAGUGGAACUAUACACAUUUAUGCUUGAUUCCCAAGACUCCAGAACCAAAGACGGUUUCUGAUCUUCGUCCGAUUAGCCUCUGCUCAGUGAUAUAUAAAGUGAUUUCGAAAAUCAUGGUUACAAGACUUCGACCAUGGAUGCCUGGGCUUAUCUCACCUACCCAAUCUGCUUUCGUUGCAGAAAGGUUGAUGUCGGAUAAUAUUACUAUUGCUCACGAGAUGGUCCAUUCUCUGGGUGUGGUAGAUACUCCGGCUUCAGAACAAAUGGUGGUAAAGACUGACAUGACGAAGGCAUAUGAUCGAGUGGAAUGGGGUUACUUGCGGUCAGUUCUGCUGGCACUUGGAUUUGAUUUGAGAUGGGUGCAAUGGGUGAUGAAGUGUGUUACCACUGUCACUUAUUCUGUCUUAAUUAAUGAUCAGCCGCACGGAAUGAUAGAGCCUCAAAGGGGACUUCGUCAAGGAGAUCCCCUGUCUCCUUUCCUUUUUGUCUUAUGCACAGAAGGUUUACCUCACUUACUUUCUAUUGCUGAGAGAAGGCAAAGCUUUUCUGGGAUGAAAUUUGGAGUGCAGGGCCCUUCAAUUCAUCAUCUCUUGUUCGCAGAUGACUGUCUUUUCUCCUGUAAAGCGAAUGAGGAGCAGAGCAAUGUGCUGAUGAAUAUUUUGGGAAGGUAUGGAGCGGCCACUGGUCAGGUUAUCAAUCCUCAGAAAUCUUCGAUUAUGUUUGGUAAAUCAGUGCGGGAAGAGAAUAAGAUCAGAGUCAAACAUAUUCUAGGGAUUGAGGCAGAAGGUGGGGAGGCUAAGUACCUGGGAUUGCCAGAAUGCUUUAAUGGAUCUAAGGUCAAGCUCUUCUCCUAUCUAAAAGAGAAAAUGGGAAGAAGGAUUUCGGGUUGGCAUGCGAGAACUUUAUCUCAAGCUGGAAAAGAAGUGAUGAUAAAAGCUGUCGCUUCAGCGCUUCCGGUAUCUGCAAUGUCGGUAUUUAAGAUCCCGAAAACGGUGAUUACGUCUCUCUCAAGUGCCUUGGCCAAUUUCUGGUGGAGUGCAGUGGAGCAUAAAAGGAAAAUCCAUUGGAUAAGCUGGGAGAAGAUGUGUCUACCGAAGGACUUAGGAGGGAUGGGAUUCAAGGAUUUAGAGAGUUUUAAUAAGGCUCUCCUAGCCAAACAAGCUUGGAGACUUAUUAAUCUUGAAAGUUGCUUGAUGUCGCAGGUUCUUAAAGGGAAAUAUUUUGAAGGGACAUGCUUUUUUAAAGCUCAGCUGGGCAAACGAGAACUCAGAAGUAUUCUAAGGGAUUUUUUGGAGUGGAAGAUGUUAGCUGAAUCGUAUGAGGCGAAUAGAGGAGCGCAUCUGAUUGCCACUAGUGCUGUGCUAGAUCGUCGGUUCCAAUCUUAUGUCGCUAGAGGCCAGCCUAUUUGGUGUUCUGAGGUUUUUCAUAAUGACAAUAGAGAUAGGCUUAAUGUUCUUUAGCCUAGAUGUUUUGGCUGUUUUUGUAAACUCUGGUCAUAUUUUUUGGAUGUAUAUAUAUAAAUAUCUAAGAUGGCAAAAAAAAAAAAAAACAUGCACUUGAAAGUUGCUUACACAACAAAAAGAACCCCCAAUUUUUCAAUCAGUUUUGUUGAGUUGGUGGACACAUUGGUCAAUUACUGCCAAGUGCCAACCAUCCAAACAAAACCAUUUACGGCAAAGUUUAAUGAAAUUUUAUUUUUGCCAAAAUAGGAAGGAAAAACACACAUGCAAAAACUAAAAGAAUAAAAGAAAUAACAAAAAAAAAAGAUAAAGAGUUGUCUACAAUAUUGUGCUAGAGCAGAGUAUUUAUAUCACCACCCACGAGCCUUUGCUUUUCCUUCACCACCUCUCCUAUAUCUGUUUUCUUCCCGGAGUCAUUUGUCUGAUCUCAUCAUCAACAACCACAACUACUCAAACAAACCUUUUAGAAAGAAAGAGAAAAAUAUAAUCCAAGAGAAGAAGCAUGACCUAAUAAUAUUAGUAGUAUCUCCUCACUGAAAAAAAUCAUAACUAUUUUGGAUGGUCAGAUCACACAAGCAAGAAGCACGCGUCUCUGCUACUUACAUCCAAUCAGUGAAGCCACAACGUCCUCCUUCCACCACCAUGACCACAACCACAGAUGGCACCAAGGGCGGCAAAACGCAGACGCAUAAGAAACAAGUGAGAAGACGACUCCACACAAGCCGUCCUUACCAAGAACGUCUCCUUAAUAUGGCCGAAGCUCGCCGUGAAAUCGUCACCGCCUUAAAACACCAUCGCGCUUCCAUGAGACACGCCGCCAAGAUUCCACCGCCUCCACCGUCUCAUCCGCGGCAGAAACUGUUUUCGCCACCGCCGCCACCACCUCCUCCAGAUCCAUUUUCUUGGUUGAAUCCACAACUCAAUUUCCUCCUCCCUAACCAACCUCUAGGGUUAAACCUAAAUUUCCACGACUUUAAUGACUUCAUCCAAACCACGUCAUCGUCUUCAUCAUCAUCGUCGUCUUCUUCAAGCUCAUCAUCAUCCUCCUCAGCAAUAACGAAUCCGCAUAUCUACUCCACCCCUUCACCUCCCCUUUCCACCUUCUCCGCCACAGCUCCUCAACAACCGCCGAAGCAGCUGAUGGAAACGGAAAACAACGUGGAGACGUCAGCUUGGUGGUCAGAGCUCAUGAUGAAGACGGUGGAGACGGAGAUGAUGAAGUCGCAGACAGUCGAAGAUGACGUCUUCCCAAAGCUCAAUGACGUCAUGGAGUUUCCUUCUUGGUUGAAUCCAACGGAUGAAGAAUUGUUUCAUCCUUAUAAUCUCUCUACUCAUUACUCCUCCCCUCACAAUCCUCCAUUGUCCUGGUAAAUUAUUUUCUUUUUUAUUUUUUUUUAAACUUAAAACAUUUUGAUCGGUCAGGUUCCACCGGAAUCACCGGCGGACAAAAAGUAGCGGUGGUUCUGUAUAAACUUCAGUGUUGAGUUGCGGCAGAACACAGAAAGCAGAAAAAAAAUAUUUCUAUAAAAUCUUUUUGUGAUAAUUAAAUGUGACUAAUUGAUUAGAAAAAUAUGAAGAAUAGGAGUGAAACUUGUGGAAUGAAAAGGAUCCACAUCAGUUUAUUGCAUGAUCUCAAGCUGUCCCUUUUGUUUCUUUUUGGUCCAAUGAUUAUAUGAGUGUCCGAAGAUUAUAUAUUGUUGUGUUAUAUCAUUGCAUGCAAUUAUUAUAUAGGUUGCUUGUUAGGUAAUUUAUUUCCUUCAGUGUUCUUCAUAUAUUUAAUUUAAGAAUUUUGUGGUAACCGGUUAUCUAUCUAUCUAACCUAAGAUUUGAAUGUAUUGUAUUUAUUUUACAGUAUGGAGAUUAAAGAAAUUGAAGGCAUGGAUGGAGACGAUUGGCUUGCCUGGCUGAGCCACAAAGAUUGAUUACUGUGUUUUUUUUCAGACAUGUUGAAUCAACUCUUUGGUUCUUUUCUUAUUUAUUUGUUUUCUUUCUAAUUUUUUUUUUUGGUUUGGAGACAUAAGAAUUUAAGAAUAACAACAUGCCUGCGGAGAGAAAUGUUCGGUUUGGCAAAAGUCACAAAUGAAUGAAAUUAAACUUCUCUUACUGAAAAAUGUUUUAUAGAUUAGCUAAUUCUCUUCAUAUGCAUCAUUCACUUCACCAAUGUCCAUCUCAUCAUCAUCAUCCGACAUCAUAUCAUCAUCGUCUCCUCCUGAACUACUACUAUAGAGCAAUUCUUUCUCUUCCAUUUCCAAAGUAUCACUAUAAGUUUGAAUAUCUCUCUUCCUCCCUCUGUAACCUGUAAACCUCAGCAACUUCUCUUUCCAAAGUAUCAAAGGGCACUUCUCAAUCAGCUCGGGGCCUUCGUAAGCUUCUGUCAAGAACACACUGAACCUCUUCCCUCUCUCAGAGACAUAGAAGAUACCACAAUGCUUCAAGAAUAUCCUCAUCAGCUUCUGCGGCAUCACAAACUCUCUCCUGAAAUGCGUCAGAUGAUCCGUCACCAAUCUCUUCUCCAGCGUAAAACUAAGCAGCUCGUGCAUAACUGCGAUUGCCCGUUUAUCGAAUUCCUUUGAACCAGCUUCGAGUCCACGUGCAUCGGCAUAAGGAGACAAGUAAGUUCGCUUCUGAAAAUGUUCAAUCUUCCCUCUGUACCGGUACAUUUUCUUGUAUGAUGGAGGAAACUUCAUAGGGAAAGGCAGUGAAAGCAAACCUGGCUUGUGAUCGCUUUCCUCAGUUAAGCCUAGAGUCUUCUUCUCCAACUCUGUUAUAGCCCAAGCUGGAUUCCAUGAAACAAGCUCUAGAUAUUCCUCUCCAUCCUCAACCUUCACAACUUUAAAAAGCUCAGGAAACUUGUUUACCCAGUUCACCCUGAAGUCAAGAGGCAACCCAAAAUCUCUCCGGAAAUGAGCAAUCUUAUCCAACCGAAGCUUCUUAUCAACAGACAUCAUCAAACACCUAGUCACAUGCUCCGCAGCCUUGUCACCAUUCUCCUCAACCAACCCAUCAUGCUCCUCCAACAACUCUUCCCCUUCCUUCGUCAUCCCACACCACAACACUCCCCUCUCAUCCUUGUACAGUUCAAACAACUUUGGAGACUUUCUGAUGAAAUCGCUGAUCUUAUGCGGCUUAGGCAAAUUGAUCUGACGCCUGUACUGCUCCAACAACCUGACCUUCAUGAUCAUCUCUGGCUCACUCUUCAACAGCUCCAUCAAGAACAUCACUUUGUUAGCUAUCUUCCAUUUCUCAGUCGCUACUUCGAGCUCGCGGACUCGCUUCUCCCUGCUCCUAUCUUGAACACGCUUGCUGCUCGUCAUUAACCUCACCCAUACCCGCCCGAAAGGGCACUCUCCAGAUAAAAAGCUUCUCUCAGGCAUUAUCGCAAACACCUUGUGGGCAUUCCCGUAGAAUCGCAGCGUCCUACGUGGCAAGCUUCCCAUCAAAACCUCAGCUUUGAACACCUGAACAGCUAUUGAAGAAGUUUGGAUUGCAACGAAAGCUCAGUUUUUUUUCUAUAAAUGGAUCGAUGAUUACGAUUACUUUCAGAUUCCAUGUGAUAGAGAAAAUGUGUAAACUGAGAUAUAAACAAUACCUUAUACUGUACGGCGGCGAAAUAAUAGAGUUUGAAGGUGAGGCGGCGAGGAGAAAGUCAUGCGACGGAGGUCCGGCGGUGUGUGUCGUCUUCUUGUUGUUUCGUAAAUGGGCUUUAUUAAGCCCAUUUAGUUCUCUUGUGAGUUUUCUUUUCUGUCUCUACAAAGUUUAAGAUUACCAGCUUGAGUUCGACACGUGGCUCGUGAGCUGUUUGUCUUAAUGUUUUAAAUCAUUGUUUUUAAUACGCUUUAAUCAUGUUUGUAGAGACUCGUGGUUUCGAAUUGUUUGUCUUCAUGUCUUUUAAUUUGAGCAAUGUCAUGUCCGAGAGAUAUUUUUGUAAGAACCAACAAAACGGCCAUCAUUCUGUAUCCACCCGUUUGGUGUUGCUCGUCAAUGUCAUUCACCGUUGGUUGACAGAGCAUAAUUACGCGAUCGGCUCGGACCAGGGCCGAACCACGGGUAAUACGUGGACUCGCAAUCAAGGAUAUGAUGAAAACACCUUCUGCGAGUUCCUUUGAGCAAUGUCAUGUCCGAGAGAUAUUUUUGUAAGAACCAACAAAACGGCCAUCAUUCUGUAUCCACCCGUUUGGUGUUGCUCGUCAAUGUCAUUCACCGUUGGUUGACACGAUCAACCGUGAAAACGAAUUAUUCUUUGUAUUUUUUUCACUUCGAUAAUUACUUUAUUGGUCUUUUCUAGUUUAUCAUCAAAAACGAUAUUUCAGAAAAGACAAUCUUAAUAUUUCGAGAAUGAAGUUUACAGUUUCAAAAUGUCUCAUCUAAAAUAAAAAUAAAAUAAUAUGCAAAAACGAGUGUUUAUUAUUGACUUUAGAAACCCUACAGUACAUUAAGUUGUUUUUUUAUUGUAAGAAAUUAUAGAUAAGCUUGUAAUUUCUUUGGACUAGGGAAGAAGAUUUAACAAUCGGACCUGAAUUUGUUUUGAUAACGAGUAUACUAUAAUUUGAAUCCUGUGUUGGCCCUUUUAUCUCAAUUAAUCUUGUUCUGUGUAUAUAUUUUAACAUAUGCUAAUACUUUGAAGAAAAAAAAUGCAAAAGAGAAGAAAAAAGAUAAAUUGCUUGAAAUACCUUAUGUUGGUUAUCACUUUUCAAAAAUAUUAUCAAUCAAAAAUGCUUUAACAUUUGGAUUUAAGACUAGAUAUGGCCAGUCCUAAGAUUUUAGGGAACAGUAAGAGAUUUAGUAAAGAUUUCAAUAAUUGUUUUUACAAAUUUGAAAACAUAUGUCUAUAUAAUUUUCUUAAAAAAUUAGGAAGCUUGAGCCGAAUGUUUCAUUUGGUUUUAUCCAGGACCGACUCUGAUUUAGAGUUUAGUGAUUAUGUUUAAACUUUAGUAUUUAUCGGGUGAAUUUAAGUUUAUAAUCUUCUGUAGUAUUUUAUAAAUUAUUAUUAAGCAAUUAUAAAUAAUUUAAGAAAGAUAGUUUAAUUUUUUUUUAUCACAACUUAAGGUAUUCAUAAAAAUGAUUAUCAUUUAAAAGUAAAUUUGAAAAAAAUGAUAUAAAAUUUGUGGUAAAAUUAAAAUUCUUUUAAAAGAGAGAAACACUGCCGAUUUUUUUAAAGUAAAUCUAUUAAUUUACAGUCUAUAUAUUGAAAGUAUUGCCACGAUUUUACCCAAAAAAAAAUAUUCCCACGAGAAUAGCUAUUUCAAAAAUCGAAAUAUUGUCCCAAGUAUAUUUAAUAGAUAAAAUACAAACUAGCUAAUAAUUAAAGCAAUAGGGACUAAAACAAUUGAUUACUUUUGUAAAGAAAGGAAAUCAAGAACCCCUAUUUUGGUUCCUUCUAUCAAACGAACAAACAUAGCCAACUAGCAUAAACUAAGUAUUUGUAUUUUUCAUAUAUAGACAGCGCAGAAAAGGGGAAGAACUCAAAUUCCUUCACAAGUGUAGCUUUCAGGAAACGUGACAAAAUAAUAUGAUAGGAUGUUGACCAAACACAUGUCUAUCUAUUAUACAUGGUGAAUUACAGUACUUUAUAUAUGGCAAAAAUGAUUCUAAAUGUACCAAUAUCCAUUUAAAAUUUUCAUGUCUUUCACUUCUUUUUUGCUUUGCGGUACGCAAGGGAAAUUUAAAAGAGGGUUACAGAUUAUACUAGCUAGCACGGUACCACAGUGGUUUAGGAUCUCUACACUGUUAUAAAUUAUUCAUCUUAGUCAAAUCCUACUAACACAGAAGCUAUGUCCGUUUUAAAAAUCGCCAAUGCUCGUAAAAUUCAUUUCAAAAAGUAGUUGAUAUAUAAUUAGUAAAUUAGUACAUGUCUAGUGUAUAUUAUAUUUGGGUGUUUUAACCACACUUGUUGAUAUAAAUUUUAAACCCACCAAAACCAGAAAUCUAAGCAAAUACGGUGGUUGCCUCCCUGGAGAUCAUAUGCUUCAGAUAUCUCAGCAUGGUAUUGUAGUUUUAACACAAAAAUGUAUAUAAAGGGAUAUCCAGAGACAAAACCAGAAAACAGUUCAAAACUAAAGUGAAGAAAGAAAGUAAAUUAAGUAGAAAACAAAAAUAUACAUUUGUAACAUAGAUUACUUAGGAGUUAAAAAAAAAUUACUUACAGUCAACAACUUCCUUGUAUAAGUUUUCAUGACAAUGAGUUCGAAUAAUAUAGCAGCAAAAGAGCUAAUUAAGGUAUUGAAGACUUUUUGUUUUUUAGUUUCUCAUAAAAUUGGUCCCUCAUUAACCAGAAAGUUCUUUUCCAUCUAUGUUUUUUUUGAAAUUUUGAUUUUGUUUUUUUUGUCAACGUUCUUAGAAUUUUUUUUUUCUAUUUUCUUUUGUUAUCUGUACAAUAUUUAGGAAAAAAAACUGAAAAACUCAAAUCCUAUAAGCAAAAAAAAAGGAAUGUCAAAAACAAACACUAUAAAUUCAUUUUAAAACUACAUAUAUUCAUAGUCUAAUCUUAACAUGCUCUCAUCUCCUGCCAAAAUUAUACUAUAUUGAAUUAAAGCCUAAUAAUCUAGAAGAAGAAAAAAAGUAAGCACAUGCUUGUAAAAACGAAGAGUUACGGAACGUGUGGCAAAUAAUAAACAUGACCGCUUCUUAAUCCGUGUUUCCACAUAAUCAUCUUCGUCAACGCGCAUACAACACGAGAGCUUCUCUGCUAUAAUUCUCGUACUCUACUUAUCACACACACAUAUAAAUACACUAACAUGCCGCCACUCUCACUAUAUUGUCAACUCCAAAAAGUACAUGAACCAAAACCCUAAUUAACUAAAACUGUAUUACACACAGUACACUUGUGCAUUUGGUAAGAUAUGGAAGCACCAUUGCCCAAGUACACAGGUGUAAGGAAGAGGAAGUGGGGCAAAUGGGUGGCCGAGAUUCGUCUCCCCAACAGCCGCGAGAGAAUCUGGCUCGGCUCCUUCGACUCCGCUGAGAAGGCGGCGCGUGCUUUCGACGCGGCUCUUUACUGCCUCCGCGGCCCCGGUGCACGUUUUAACUUCCCGGAUAAUCCUCCGGAGAUACCCGGCGGACGUUCUCUGACGCCGCAGCAGAUUCAGGUGGUAGCUAACCGCUUCGCCUGCGAGGAACCGUUACCACCACCUCAACAACAACAACAGCAAGAACAGCCACCCUCGCCACAUGGCGAUAGGACGGAGGAAGGAGUUGGAAAUUCGGCACGUGGGGAAAGUAGUGGUGGUAGUGGUGGGCCGACGUUAGGACAAGUUGGGGGAGAUAGUAACAACCACGUGGGUAAUUGCAAUAGCAAUAGCAAUACCAAUAGUAACGAUACGACACCGUAUUGGCCGUUUAUGUGGGAAGAGAAUCUUAUGGUUCCUACAACUUCGGAAGAGUUAGGUACUUAUUUCAUGGACGUUGAUUCGACCAACUUGUAUUUCCCGUCGACACAACAUGAGCUCUCAUCUGAUUUUUACUACGAUGGAGCAUCUGUUGUUGAAGAUGAUUACUCUCAUUACAACAUUAACCUUUGGAAUUUCUGAGAUCCUUCUUUUUAUCAGUGAUCUUGGACCAAAAUAUUCCAUCAUUACUCAAGGUGAAUCAUUAAGGUACUAGCCUCUUGUGGCUCAUCUUUUUAUUUUAUUUAUUAUUUUCGAAAUCCAUUUAUUUCACAUGUUUUUUGGUUUGUGUCUAUGUGCUCUGUAUUACAUUGCACAUUACUUCCACUUGAGUUUUCUUUCCAGGAUUGGUUUGAUUUAUUUGUAACAAGCCAAUCUUGACCCCUAAAAAUUUUACUGACUUUUUUAGAAUGAAAUUUACAGAUUCUUUGUCGAGCUCUAAUUUGAAUGACAAAUAGCUCACAAAAUCAUAUAUAGUUUGCUUUACUUUUCUUUUACAUUGCUAGUGAAAUGUUUUUUAGACAACAUGAAACAUGCGAGUUUGAACUCAGCUGGUAUACAACAAUGGCGUUAUUAUAAAUCAGUAGGUUAUAUUUAGUGAUCAUAUUGGUAGUGGCAUGCAUGUUUAUUCUUCUAAAAUCUGCUAAAAUAUGUUUAAAACUUAGUAACAAAGCUGUGAAGCUCAUCCAUCUGAGCAUCUCAUUUCCACGUAAACUAGCAUGCUAGCUACUUUUCUUUUUUUAUUCACGAACCUACGCUCCUUUGAUCCUUUCUAUUGUCUGUGCAUUCGUAUUCAUUCAGGGUUUUUUUUUUAACUGAGUAUUCAUUCAGGGUUGAGUGAUAUUGUUUAAUUAUUCGACCUUAGUCUCUACCUCCACCGUGAACCGACCAGCCCCUUGAAUUCCCAUCCACCAUGCAGAUCACUUUUAUUCGGAUUCUAUUGACGCUGAUUUUUAGCGUGUAGCAAACUAUGCAGGAUCCACAAUCCAAGACUGUGUAUGGGAUGACAUUCAAGAUCGACUGGAUAUAUAGUCUUCACUCGAUCAAAAAUAUUGUGUGGACCAUCAUGAAUCAAAUUAUUGACUCUAACACUGCUGGACUCAAGAUUGAGUUCCAAUAGUUUCGGCGGGCCUACUUAAUUAAUAGUCAGUCCAAGAGCUUAAGGGCCCUCUUUGCUAAUUAAAUUCUUGUUGGCAUUUCUAACUAGAAAAGUGGUUCGUCCGUAAUUUACUGGUUUUCCAUUAAAUGAAAACAAGCACGUAGGUGAUAGUUAAUGUGCUGUUUUAUAACUUAUCACGUGAGAACCAUCUGUUUUUUUUUUUUUUGUAACUUAGAACCAUCUGUUUCUAGUCCAUAUGAACUAAAAUUUCAGAAAACAAUGUUUGUUACUUAGUUAUUAUUAGUUGCUUACAAAACUGUAGAGUUUUAGAUUGAUCCAUAUUAGGUUUUAUCUUGCUUGGAUUAAAUGAUUGAUUUCGAUUGUUAGAGCAACUCCAUUGGUUAGAGACCCUUAGGGACUCUAAUAAAUAAAAAAGUAAUUGAUUUUGUGAUUUGAAAAGUUUAGAACCUAUUUUAGUCUAAUUAAUUUUCUGACCUUCCAAUGGAGAACUUCGUUGAGGUUCUUAACUUUUUUUUUUUUAAAGAAAAUACGGUAAGCAAGCGCUACAAGAAGUGAAACAGCUCUUUCUACUUUAUAUCGAUCAUAAAUGGUCGAACACAAGCAGACACAACUCUAACAAGACAGUGAUCUCGGGUUUGUCUGCAUUGGUGCCAAAUCAAAAGCAGACUCACUGCUACUGUAAAACAAGACAGUGAACACAAGCAGACUUUCUAACAUACAAAGCAAGACAGUGAACACAAGCAAACCAUCACAAUGUUAACCAGCAAAGGAGAAACAUACUUUAACCAUUACAGACUCAGACACAAAGCAUUAAGACAAACAAACUGAGACACAAAUCAUAAAGACAAACAGAGCGACAAAGAAAGUAAAAUUAAAACCUUGGUUUAAAUGGAACUAAAUUUUGAAACUAUCACAGAGCCUUAACAAAUUUUAUCUUCUUGUUAAGCAUCGCUUAGAUUGUUUGAAUGGAACUAAGUUUCGAAACUUAUUUCACUUUGAAACAGAAGCAUCAUCAAUUGUUAAAAUCAACAAACCAACACAAGAUCAUUAUCAUCACUUGUUAAACGAAUCUUAAGCAUCAUCACUUGUUAAAAUCAACCAACCCAAACUCUGUUUCUAUGCUAAAGUUUCGAUAUUUUCAACAGACACUACUGUAAAAGUUUCACCUUCCUCAAGAUCAUCAGAUAAAUCACCAUCGACAUCAGUUUUAAACAGUUUUUAAGAAAGCAGACAAGGGAUGUUCGUAUACUUACAGUCUGAUCUCGCUUCUUGUAUGAGUUUCAUCCUUGCCUGGAUCCUUGCUUUCACUUGAAGCUGAUUCCUUUGAAGAAGUCGCUUCUCUUCUGAUCUUCAUCAUAGUCUCACCGAAGGAGAUCGACAUCAGAACCAACAGAAAAGAUUGAGAGAUAGAAGAAUCGACAGAGAUACGACAAAGAAGGUGGAGAGAUCGAAGAAUGGACAGAAAAUCGCCAGAAAGAAGAUGGAAAGAUCGAAGAAGGAGGAGAAAAAAAAAUUGGAUUUCACGUGAAACUCUGAAACAGGAGAGAGAGAGAUACAUCGGCUGUCAAAUAGGAAGAUGACACGUAAGGUUCCUUAUCAAUCCUUAAAAUCCUAAUUUAAGGGGCGGUCCUCUGAUUUCUUUUCUUUUUUCAUUUAUUUUUUUGCUUUUUUUUCUUUGGAACCCCAUCUAGGAAUCCCCGAUGGACAUGGUCUUAGAGCAAGAGCAUCAGUGAACCUCUCUUUGGGGUUCAUCUUCUUAAUUUUUUAUUAUUAAAUUUUUUAUUUUUUUCAUUUUGAUUUUUUUUUUAAAAAAAAAAAAAAAAAAAAGCUAAAAUAGAGAGAUUACACGAGAACUUAACGAGCUUAUCAUUUCCUUUGUGAAGUCGAAAAGUCACUGCCGAAAUGGUUCGAUCUGACCGUAUACCGCCUCUGCAACUCUGUCGAGCUUCACCCUCACGAUCUUAAGCUAAGUCUUCUUCUCUCUAGUUCUCUGAUUUUGAUCGUCUCUCUCAAUUUGAAUCUGGACGUUGUAACAACUUUAUCCACUCUCAGAUGUGAAACAAAUCUUUUCACUUAUAUAUGAUAGCAUAUGGGCUGAGAUUUGGGUUUUUUUCCUUUUGCACGUUUCGGACGAACCAAGACUGAGAUACAUGACAGUGAGCCAUAAAGAAACAACCUAUUUCGGAGUUUGGCUGAAUCAGAUCCACAAAAACUACAGGCAAUAAAAAAAAACAAAUCAGAACAAAAUCACAAAUAAAUUAUACAAAACCUUGAAAACAAAUGGACUAUUAAAAGCAAGACCGGCAGUUAAAUAACUCAGAUUCUUUAGCUCUGAAGAAUUUUAAACUAAACUAUAUCCAAAAAUAAUUAGAAGUUAAUAGAACAUAACAAUUAACCUAACAAGGAAACUAGAAUUAACAAAAAGUCAGCCUGCAAUUAAUACAUGCAAUCAUGUAAACAAUAGUUUCAUACUAUUAAUCAUCAUCUCCUAUCUAUAAUUAGUUAAUAAAAGCUUUCUUAUUGUACAAAAACAAAUGGCUCCGUCAUUUCUGAGCAUCGCAAAGUUCGUUGAGGCAAUACUUCGCCGGAUAUUCUCCUCCUCUGGUCUCUCUCUACAAACCCUUUCCAUCGACUCCGAAACCACCAUACAAUACUGGGGUCCAGCAACGUCUGAAAACAAACAGAAGCCGUCUCUCCUCCUUCUCCACGGUUUUGGCCCUUCCGCUGUAUGGCAAUGGAACAGACAGGUAAAGAAACUCUCUAUCUACUUCCGUCUCUACAUUCCAGACCUCGUCUUCUUCGGCGGCUCCACCACGACCUCCUUUCGCUCCGACGAAAACCGCUCGGAGAUGUUUCAGGCUUCGUGCAUGGGGAGGCUGAUGGAGAAGCUCGGUGUCGAGAGAUAUAGUGUUGUCGGGACGAGCUACGGUGGAUUUGUGGCGUAUAACAUGGCGAAAAUGAUGCCGGGGAAAGUGGAGAAAGUGGUUCUUGCUAGCUCCGCGGUUAAUUUGCGGAGAAGUGACAACGAGGCGUUUAUCGCGAGGGCCAAGUGUCAUGGCAUCGUGGAGGUGAUGCUUCCUUCCUCGGCGGCGGAUCUCCGGAGAUUAUCUGGGAUGAUAUCUUCUAGGAAACUAGAUUAUGUCCCAGAUUUUGUCUUGAACGACUUUUGCCAGGUAUUUUGAUAUCUUACUUCUUUUGUUGUGAAAAAUCCCGUAAACAAUCUUAUAAGUUAAAACCUCAAUCUUAUAACGAAGUUUCAAAAAAAAAAAUCGGAAACCUGCAUAUAUAAGCAUAUAAGUAAUACAUCCGAACGGACGUUACUUUUUACUAAUGGAUACUUGUGAAACGCUAAACAUUAUAGGGAAAUUGCCACAAAUAGCACAUUCAUACUACCACUUUUCAUGUUUACACUAACCACUUUUACCCUUACUUUUAAUGAAGGAUAAAAGACAAUUAUACCCAUAGGGUUAACUAAUCUAGACUUAGGGUUUAGAGUUGAGAGGUGGGGUAGGGUUUUUGGAAUGUGAAAUUUAGGAUUCUAAUGAAUAUAUAAAUAAAUAUUUAAAAAUAUUAAAAAAUAGUUUCAAACAUAAUUUUCGUUUUUCAAAAAGAAAUUUGAAAAAAAAAUAAAAAAAAAAUUUGAAAAAAAAUAAAAAAAGUUUUAUAAAAAGUUCGAAUUUGAAAAAGUAUAAUUCGAAAACAUAAAAAUUUUUACUUUUUUUCUAUUAUUAUUUUUUUAUUUAAAUAAUGAUUUAUUAUAUAUAUAAAUAACAAUGGUAUAAUAGUCUUUUGCCACUUAAUGAAGAAGGUAUUUUUGAAAAUGUCUCUUUAGUGGUGGUAAAAAUGAAAAGUGGUACCAUGAAAGUGAUAAACAUGUAAUUUCCUCAACAUUAUAUUGCCGUUAAAAGGAUUCACAGUGAUCAUCCAAGUUUGUUAUUAAAAAUCAGUUUUGCAUGCAAAAUAUAGAACCACGUUAAUUCUUUCAGGAAAAAAUAUUGUCCGCACACUUCUUUAAAAUUUGAAUUAACUAAUUAUACAAACGAAAAGAAAAUACUGGAGCAUAAAGAUGCACUUCACUAGUUUAUUUUUGAAAUAAGUGAUUGAUAUAAGAGUAACUUUAACGGUAAAAUUACUUAAAAGAUGUUUUCUCAGUAAUAUAAUAAAAGUAUUUUAAUAUUAUUUAGUUAUGUGAUUAAAAUUUAUUUUAUUAAAAAGUAUAAACCACUAGAAAUGAAAUACUUGUCAUUUAGGUAUGUAGAAGGGCUCUUAGAAGCUCUAAAUAUUCUUCAAGAACCUAUGGUUGGAGAUGCUGCAAGAAAACAACAGAGUUUGUCACUUUCAUUUGGUGAUAUUUUACUAAAAGCUUGUAUAACACGUAGCUCCCAAAAAAGGACUAAGUAAAUAUUUCUCACUUUUUAUAUAAAGUUAAAAAUAUGUAUAUCGCUAUUGAAACCUGAAUUUGGCUUGCAUGAUUAAUAUAUAAUAAUAUUCAAAAAUGGGGAAACACACAGAAAAUGUAUUCGGAGAAGAGAGGGGAAAAGACAGAACUUCUGGAGGGGCUCAGUAUUGGGAGGGACGACAAAACAAACGUUUCACCGAUUCAACAGGUUUGCUAAUCGCUAUCACAGUAUCACCAUUUUUAAACUAUCCCAACGUUAAUAUAUAACUCCGUUACUUGGUUUCUGACAUUUAGUUAAUUAUACUUCUUUGUUUUUGAAAAACUAUAUAAUUAAGUAACUACAGUUUUUCAUUAAAACAAAAGGAGAUCCCUAUGGUGCAAUAUUUGAUUGGAUAGUUGUAUGAUAAUUAUCUUAUUAGUAGCACGUACGUAGACCCUAAAACUUUAAAUUAGUAUCAAUAUGUCUUGCUAGUGUUCAAUUUAACCACUAAAUGCAAACGGAAUUUUAAUUUUUUGAAUUUGGCAUUUACAUUUCCAGUAAAGAUUUUAAUAAAUCAAAUAUAUUUUAUAUCAAAAAUAACAAUGUGACCUUUAAUUAAAGCGUCUGCGUAUUAACAUUUUACAAGGCUUGCAAUAGUCGAGGCUGCAAUAAACCUACAAUGUCUCGUAACCAUAAGAACAUCUCCAAUUCCACUUUAUUUUCUACUCUAGUUGUUGAUCAGAAUUUUUUAAAGAGUCAAGUCUUACUUAUUUAAGCUGGAAUGAAAAUCUUCUUCUCUUAUGAUAUUUUAUAGAGUUUCGUUUCUUUUAUCUAUCUCCCCAUUCGAACGAGAGAAUUGAGUUGAUAGCUUCAGUAGUGGUUGCUUGAUGGUGUGUAGUGGGAUGACCUGGUAGCGAUCAUAUUAGUAUGUAUAUGAGGCACGUCGGAACCGCGCGAGUUCACCGGGGUGGGACCUUUUUCUCCUAAUUGUUUCCAUUCUACCAACGAAUUUUCUAUAAUAAUUCGCAAAUCUAAAUCGGCUAAUUGUUCUCAGAUAGCACCCGCCCCAGUAGAAAUUUCUCGGAGUGAAUUCCUCUGUCCUGUGUGCGGAAGGCAUAUGAAGUAGUCCAGUAAGGAUUCAAGUCAGGUUGUAUUUGGAUUUUGCAACUCGGAAAUUAUCAUAGAUUUAUGAUCCUUUCCUUACCCUACUGCCUAUAAACAUUCAAAAUAUGCAAAAUAGCCCUUAUAUAAAUAUAACCAAGCCGAUCUACGAGUGGAUAUUGCCUUUUUUUUCAUCGGCGAUCUUUCAUGGAGUUGCCGAAGCCAGAAAUGUUUCAAUCCAACUUCAUUUAAUAUUUUACUCUAUAAUGGAGUUUACUCCAUAGAUAGCGCAAUCUAUUUUUUUUGUUCAUUGUUCCAUUAUGUAGUGAGAUAUAGAGUUGAGUUGUAUCAAUUUUACUUUAUUUUCUCAUUUACUCUAUUUUGAAGAAAAAAAUGAAGUUUUAUAUUGGAUAUGCUCUAAUGAGUAGAAUAAUGGUAAAACUAGAGUAGUUUUGUUUUAUCAUUGUAUUUGUCUCUAAACUAAGUGAUUACAACAAAUUAGUUUAUGUUAUUACAUAAUUACAAGUGGCAAGAAAUAAGUGACAUAUAUACAUAAAAUACUUAUCUCAUAUCUUAAUCCAUUUAAUUGAUUUAAACUAAAUGUCUAUAUACCUAAGUGAUAAAUAAGCAUGAGUCAUGCAGGAUGUAAUGCUGAUAUGGGGGGAGAAAGAUCAGGUUUCCCUCUGAUAAUGGCCCAUGACCUCAGAGAGUAAGUCUUUAUAAAUUGUUAAUAUCUUAAUCAAUGCAAGAAAUAAGUGCAUUUUAUAAAAUUAUCUAAUAUCUUAAUCCAUUUGAAAAUGCAUGGCUCUUAAUUCUCUCAACACAUAUGGUUUCACUAUAUCUCAAUAGCAUAGAGCUUUGGGUGUUCACUGUUCAUUGCCUGGUUCCGUUUAAUUUCUUUCUCCAAUUAGAAUUCUCGCUCGAGUCAUAAUGGUUUUUUAAAUGGUUCCAGGAUGUUGAGGUUUAGUGGCGACAUUAUAAGCUUUCAAAAUAUAUAGAACAUAAAACACAACACUGGAUAACCAAUAUCUAUGAUGUAAAUUAAUUAAUACUAAAAUAUGUCACUUGAGCAUCUCCAUCCUCACUCCAUAAUUUACUCCAAAAAUAAAGUGAAAAAUAAAGUAUGAACAAAAAAUAAAAAAAAUUAUUCCAUAAAUAGAAUAUUUUUAGUUUUUUUUAUUCAUACUCUAUUUUUGGAGUAAAUUAUGGAAUACAGAUGAAAAUAUCCUUAUAAACGAAUCAAGCAGGUGGAAAUGUGUGUUUAUUUGAUAGUAAGUAUAAAGGUUUAGAAAAAAAAGUAAGUAAUUUAACUAUGUAUAUUUACCAGGAUGUUGGGGAAGAAGGCGAAGCUGAGAGUGAUACCAAAGACAUCACACAUACACCAAACGGAAAAGUCCAAAGAAUUCAAUGGCAUUGUCAUGUCUUUCCUGUUACCUCCCUCUUCUUCACCAUAAUUGUAACAUCCAUAUUAAACUAAUAAAUUAUGAUAUAUUCCUCAUUUUGUCAACAUUUAUUAGAAAGUAUCUGUGACAGUCAAAUACUUUUGAGAAAUCUUUUACUAUAUUCCAUGUGAAAUAUUCAAUAAGACUAGAUAACUAUAUAGCCUGUGAACAAUAUAUCGAGAUAUAUAAGAGAUGAUUAUUUAUUGAUGUUCCGCUCUACUAAAUUAUUCCAUGCGACCAUGCAUGGCCCAGAAGAUCGAUCGUGAAUUCAUUAGAAUUUUAAAGCAAAUACAACAUCUUCGUAAGUGUGUAAAUCAAACGCAUGUCUUCUAAACUACACUUCCGUUAGAUAAUGUAAAUUUUAUUUUCAGUUCUCAAAAUUAUAAAAAGAAGAACUCAUCAACUCUCCCAAACCUUAGCUUUUUAACUCUUCAGUUCUACACAACACCGGCACGGGUAUUUUUGGAAACCUAUUGUAAAGUUUUGACGACCAGAAAAACAUCAACAAUAUACUACAACGACUAUGACGACUACGUCGCAAUCUUAAAAUAUACUCUAAGUAUCUUCUGUACAUUCUCAAUUUACUCUUCCAUAAUGGUUACAAAAGAUAAAAGUACGUACUACCGAUUGAAAAUAGUCCACUAGCAUCCAUCUCUUUACUUCUUUUUGUUUUUGUAGCUAUGAAACCCAUGUGAUCAAAAAGAAUACGACAGAUCACUAUUAACGAGCUUACUUUAGCUAGUUUGGGUCUUCUUAACCGUCUGUAGUUCCUCCCUUUUGUCUGGCCAGAACUUUACUUCAAAGAUAUCAACAAACUCUUCAUGGGAUAUUGAAAAAUGGCGGCGGCAAAAGUCUUUUCAGUUAGUACCAUGUGAUUAUCAAAGUGCCUAACUAAUUAUUUGGUGAGCAUACGUUAUCUGGUAAAGAGUAUUUCUAGAACCUAAUAUUGAGUAAAUCAUACGACCAGAGCCGCCCAAGACCUGAGUAGUUUGAAUCAAUUAGGCAGCUAGUGAAGAUCUAGCUCGAUCCAAGCGGAUAUGUAUUUUAUAGGUUAUUUAAAUAUAAGAAUCCAAAAAUAUGAAAGUAGUAUUUUAUAAAGGGAUCUAGAAUUUACCAUUUUCGUAAUGGCUUCUCUAAAGCUCUAAUCACAUUAAGCCGGCCGUGGUUAGGACGGAACAUAAAUUGUUAGAAGGCUUUCUAUCUAGCAACAGAUGGUAGAAAUUGAUUUACGAGAAGUCACGGGGACAUUAGUUUUUUUCUCCUUUCACAGAUACGCUCCCCCAAAAUAUAUAUAUUUCUUAAUUAGAUAUGGGCUACGGCAAUAUUGGUAAACGAAAAUGUGUUAGACGUAAGAAAUAAGGGACGAAUUAGGAGGCAAAACCAGAGUUAAAACAAACUCGAUGACCAAUAGAAGAGCUUCUUUCUCAAGCUGUUGCUUUUGAUUAAAAGAAAAGUUGGUUGUGUAAAGACAAGCAACCAAAGGAUCAAACUUGCCUCAACUAAUUUAGGUAUUUAAAUGAAAAUAGCUACGAAGUGGAUUAUGGAUAACAUAAAUGGCGACCUGGAGCAGAUGGGAAGAAGGGAUUAAGCAACGCCACAUGAUCGGACGGAUCACUCAAUGGGUGGGGGAAUGUGGGGGGGGGCAACAACAUCGAGUAGGGUUUAAGUGGUUCGGACACGUUAGAUUCAAAUUGAAAUAUUAAUUGAAAAGAGAAAAGUGUAAUGAGAGUGGGUCUAUAGGAGAGGGCUAAAGCAGGACCCAUGACAAUGAUCCUGAUGAGAUCCUAUGUUGAUACGCGGUUUUGAUUGAAUUCGAAUGUUUUACGCAACCCACCCUUACUAGUCUUCUUUCUUUUGUGUUUGCCAAAUUACCUGUAUUUAUACGUGUCAAACAUGUAUAUUGUGUUACUGUUUAGACGUUUAAUUAUUCCAUAUCAAACGAAAUUAUACGCACCAUGAAGGUAAUAAUUAAUUAUAUUCCAAGACUAGCUAGUUGUUUUUUAAAAUUUCACUUUUACAUAGUGUUGCAUUUUCGGUGUUUUCUUUUUAAUAUUGAUUCAUUAUGAUAUUACAAUUAUAAAAAAUAUUACAUAGACGAUCCGACAACCGAUAAUACUAUAUGUUUUAUAAGGAUUUACACCUAACUGCAUCACCUGAGCCGUCCUACGAAUUUACUUGCACCAUGUUAAAGAUUACUUAUAAAUUUUCCUCUGUAACUUGCAUAAUUGUUUGAUAAAUCGUUUUUUCCAGAAAUAGAAACAUGAACUUGUUGGUGUAGAAUCAUUAAUAAAUUUAAUGAAUUUUUAAUCAAACCACUAAACUAAGAGAACUUUCACAUAUUUUCGGUGUUUUAAAACCAAAAAUUAAACAAUCGAUGCCAGAAGAGACAAAAGAAGAAAAGCUAAGGGGAGACAAGAAGCAAAUUAAAACCAAAAUAAUAACAUUAAAUGAAUAAUUAACUUCGUACCAAUACAAAUUAAAUAUUCGGCCUCCGAAUUAGAGUAUUACAUAAAUAUAAAUUUUUAAAUUUGUAAAAAAGAUUACUUAUUAAAAUCUUAACUAAAUUAGCUAUGAUUUCUAAAAUUUCAGGGUGGACCAUUCUUCAUACAUUUGGAUUGAAUUUUUUUGAGUUUUUUCAAAUUUGUACUACUGUUAGUAUUUAUUUUGUAUAAUUCAAAAAUGUUGUUGAAAUCUUUAUAUUUAUUUUUUUAAUUAUCACGAUAAGUAUAUUACUUAUGAGAAAUGGCGUUCUACCUAUAAAGUACUAAUGACAAAAUCUUGAAAAUUUAGACAUGUAAUAAUGAAGGAAUCUAGAAGAAGAUAAACAUAAAAUCUUCUAAAAGUGGUAACUUUGAAAGCAUCCUAUUCGGCAAUUCCUGUUUCUCCAAGGAAAAUAUUAAUAAUUAUUUUAAAAUAAAUUAAUAUUAAUAAAAAUGAAUAAAAUCAAGCGGAAGAGGAAAGAGUUAAGACUGUCGGCUUUAAUCGUUUUUGUGGUUCUUCCUUCAUAUGUGGAUAAGCCUCACCGUUUUUCAGACAACAAAAGAUGACCCAUCUCGUCAUCGACACGUCACAUUCAUCUCAGUGCCUAUCCAGCGGGAACGGUCAACAAAACGCCACGUGUUGAAGUUUCAUGGCUCUAUCUUCCACGAAUUAAAAAAAUACUAAUGGAAUAUCGUAUAAGAUAACAAUGUUGAUUUUACGAGGCUAAUUUUGCUAAUAGUCCUUCAACUUCUGGAAUAUCUACAAAUAGUUUUCUUUUAUAAAAAAUGGUACAUUAUUGGCGUAAAUAUCUAACAAUUUUAAAAUAAAAUAAAAUAAAAUAUUUUGAUUAACAAGUUGAAAAAAAUCUAGAGACAAAUUCAAACUUUACGUACAAAAUUCACAAAAACAAUAAACAAGUUUUUUCUUUUAAAAGCAAAUUUAGUUUCUGAAGAAAAAAAACACAAAAUUAUUUGUAAAAGAAAUAUAAAAUAAUAUUUUUAAUUAAAUAUAAUUUUACAACAUAAAUCAAUCUACUCUACCAAAUUGUUAUUGAAUAAUAUUUUUUUAUCAAAGAACUUGGGGUGGCAAUAUGUGAAUAAGAGAAGUUGGAGAACUAAAUUGGAAAUAAAGAAAAGAAGGUGAGAAGUGCAUGCAGUAUGCGUGGAUGAGGAUAAGGUUAAGCCAACAGUUACUUCUGUCCCCUCUCUGUCCUUUCCCUCAAAUACUUAACUUAUCCUCUUCUUUUCCUUGCUAACUUUAAAAUUUUUAAACAAUUAAUGACAACGUGAUAAAUAAUAAUUAUUGCUUUUUGUUUUUAUUAUUUAAAGUUUUAUAAGAAAACCACCAGAGCACCUAGUAUAUAUAAAGAUCUCAUCUUCUCUCCUCUUUCAUUUCCUAUCUAUCUGUAUUGUGAGUUUUGAGAAUAGUUUAAAGAAGUUUCAAGGUUUUAUUCAAAGUCAUUGCGAUGGAUAGAGUUGAAUCUUAUAUGUUUAAUUUCACCGAUGAUCAGUCUUCUUCCGAGUCUCUCUCUUCUUCCUCGGCUUCCUCUUCCAUUGGGAGGAACAGCGACGACGAAGAAGAGCUUCACGGCGAGGGAAAGUCAUCGGAGGACGAAGCAGAGUCUUCGUACAAAGGACCUCUUGAUCUGAUGGAAUCUCUAGAAGAAGUCUUGCCCGUUAGGUAGAAAUCUCUUACAAAACUUCUAAAUUUGGAAACUCCUGUCUGAAUCUUGACAAAUUUGGAAACUUUCUGAUAUUGUGAAUGUGGGUUUCGUGUAGGAAAGGGAUAUCGAACUAUUACAGCGGGAAGUCAAAGUCUUUCACGAACUUAGCAGCUGCUGCCUCGGCGUUGACUUCCUCUUCGUCGAUGAAAGACUUGGCGAAGCCGGAGAAUCCUUACAGCCGUCGGAGGAGGAAUCUCCUCUGCCAUCAGAUCUGGGAGAACAGCAAAACGACUCCACGUGGCGGGAUCUCGAAGAAACACGUCAUGAGCUCGAGCAGGAGCGCGUUGACGCUCGCCAUGGCGGUUGCUGCUGGGGUGAUGGCGAGAGAAGGAUCUUCUUCCUCGGGAGGAGAUUCGUCGCCGGGGUCAUCGAGUCCGACGACAUCGGGAUCUCCUCCUAGGCAGAGACGUGGUAGCCAGAUGAUGAUGCUUCCUCCGCUGUAUCCUAGUCAGAGUCGAGAGUCUUUUGGUGAUUUGAAGUCGUCUCAGUCGUCAUCGUUGGGUUUUUGCGCUUGGAGAUCGUAUUCGGUGGCGGAUAUUCCGAGGUGUUUUCCGGCGACGGCUAGUGGUGUUGGGUCCAGUGACUCGUAGGAAUGUUAACAGUUGUUUUGUUAUUAUCUUAAUAUGUUUUUGAAGUUAACCUUUUUUUAGUUUUUUGGAGUAACGUCCGGUGAAUGUAUAUACGAGUUUAAAAAUUUUAAAAUGGAUCCACACAUCUUUUUCAUUUUGUGUUUAAAAAAAAUAAAGGUCAUCUAUUCGUUAUCGCCCAAAUCUUGGCGCACUCAAAUCUGAUAGGUGGAAAUCCAAAAUUCGCAUUUGUUGUUAUCCAAAUCCAAGUUUUAAAUGCCAAACCAUAUGAAAUAUUUUUAUAUUUAUCUUUAAAGGGACAAGUAGGAAUCAAUAAAAUUAUGAAAGUGAUAAGGAUACGUUUGGUGAGAAGGAAAGCAUAUCCGGUCGACCAAAAAAAAAAAGAGAAGGAAAGGAUAUGCAAGUGAUAAUGUUAUGUUUGGUGAGAAGGAGAGGAUGGGGUGGUUCGAGUCUGACACACCAACCUUCUCUUGAGUACAUUUUCCACGCAGACGCAUUUGCGUCCACUCUUAUCUGGCCAAAUUUGGAAGUUGUUCAACGUGGAUUUUGCUGGUGAGAACGGCCAUGUUGACUAUCAUGCUGGAAUUUGUGUAACAUAUAGGUCACAGAAGAAUACAAAUUACAGUACUUAAUUGGUCAUUGGUCGGCUGGUCUAUACAAAGCCGUUUCAUAAAAUCUUAUCAAAUAUUAAUUUCAAGAUUCUAUAUUAUAUGUAUAUAUGAUCAUAAGUAAUUACAAGAUUCAACAUCUCUAUUAUACCAUUUUUUUUUGAUCAUCAUCUCUAUCAUACAAAACCCUUCAUUGUUUCUUCUUGGCCUCCAAAACAGAUGGAACCAGCCUUCUAGCUGUUUGCACUUGUUUCAGAUUUAUGGAGCUGGAGAAGUAAUGAAUUUGAGACGACAAAGAUCGAGCUCAGUGCCAUUAGUCCACCUGAAAGCAAAUUGAUAGUAUAACUUAACCAUACUCUAUAUAUGAUUGGACUGUGUCAAUCCACAGAGCGGAAGUGAGAUGAAUCUUUGUUUCUUUUUUUGUAAUUUAUUUAACUGGAAUCAAGCACACUUACCGGAUAAGGAAGGUGUCAUGGCGAAAUCAUACUGAGGAAGCAAGACACCUGCAGCUAUAGGGAUCGAGAUGACAUUAUAUGCAAUUGCCCAUGCCAGAUUCUGAUAAACUUUCGACAUUGUCGCUUGUGCAAGACUCAGUGCAUCCACAACCUACAGAAAAAAACAAACAUUAGCUUUGACCUUAUAUAGCACUGAGUCUUGAGCAAUAAACUUAUAUGGUUUUGGUUCUUUGUCUCGUGGAUGAAUAUGCAAGUUAACUCGUUAAGAAUUUGAUUAUAUAGCAAGGAAUAAUGGAGAGCUUUACAUGUGAGAGUUUGUUGCGGACAAGUAUGACUGAUGCUGCAUUCGAUGCAGCGUUUUCUUGUGCCUCGAUCUUUAGUGCUAUUCCAACAUCAGCUUGAGCCAACGAAGGGGCAUCGUUUAUGCCAUCCCCCACCUUAGGAAACACACACCAAAAUAUCCCCCGUAAGCCUAACCAUCCAUCUUACACGGGAAACAAGUUGAAGAUAAUGAUUCCUUGCAAUUCAAUUGAAGAUCUUACCAUAGCGACACGAUGUCCGGAGGAUUGAAGAUUAGAUAUAAACUCGAACUUCUUGUCAGGAGACAAAGAAUAGUUGGUUGAUUCACUCUCAAUCCCCACAUUCUUUGCCACUGUUGCCACUGCCCCUUCCCUAUCCCCUGAUAAGAGAAUUGUUUUGAUGCCUUUCUCCUGAAGUCUUUAAUAAGAAGACCAACAUAAAACUUUAGGCACCCUCGAUGAUUACUGUUUCAGUUAAGCCGAUUUUUUUCAUAGAACUGAAAGGGAACUACUAGGAGUAGUACUACUUAGUUUCAUGAAAACAUGCACUCUCUCAAAAGUUUAAAACCAGUUGUUUAUUUUUAAAAAGGGAGGGUGAAAACUACCUGGCUACAGUAAACUCAGCAUCUUUGCGCAAGCAAUCAGAUAUUGCAAUAGCACCGAUAAUCCCUUCUCCUUCGCGUCCCACGUAGACAACGGUCUUUGAAUACCGAGACGUCAAUGAUGUUCUGGAUAGUUUACGAUCCAAAUAAUUUUCCAGCUUAACUACGUCCGAGGAGUCGUUCUUUUUGUGGAAACGAUUGGCAACCCAUUCAAGUGCACCCACAGCAACCAAACGUCCAUCUAUUUCUGCCAGAGUUCCAAAACCUGGUUCAGUCAAUUGGCCUCUUGUUUCUGGAGUUUCCAGAUUCAGCGCUUCUGCCUCGUUUACAAUAGCCUUUGCUAUUGGGUGUGUUGCAGUCUUCUCCACCGCAGCAGCUAGUUUAAGAACUUCUUGUUCUUCGUAAAUUAAAGACCCAACACCAGAGACGAUAGGUCUUCCUUCAGUAAGAGUCCCUGUCUGGAAACAUAAUGCAAAUUAUGAUCAAGUGAAAAUAUCUUAUUUUCUAGCAUCUUCCAUUUUGAUAAUAAAGAGAUAGGCGAGAGAGAAAGAUUGGUGAAGAAAAUCAAAUGAGACACCAAAUAUUUAGCAAUACCUUAUCUAAGGCAACACAAUCUAUGGAAGCCAGGCGUUCUAAGACAUCUCCUCCUCUGAUAAGAUAUCCCCGCUUUGCUCCUGGACAGAUUUCACCAGGUUAGCUUCUCACUGUUUAAUUACAAAAUUUUCUAGUAAUAUAACGUUCAGACAUCCCUAUAAUUACGAAUGAUAACCACAAUGACGGCAGUCUUAAGUGAAUACGGCUCAAACUAGAAAACUGGUUCUUUAAGAUAUCUAUGGCCAUUUUUAGUAAUUUUCAUAAUAUCUGAAGAAACCAUCAACAACAGAACUUUUACAACCUAUUGAUGAUCUUUUAUCUAUUAGGGUAGUUAAAAAAAGAUCAGAGAACAAUUGGUAGCUUCAGUAUCAUCUGGGAUCUUCCUAAUAACUUAAAAUCUUUGCACACAAUUAGGUUACUCUUCUCGGCUAGGUUUGCGGACUUUUAACUGCAUGCAAAACAAUAUGCUUGAUAACGUACCAAGAGAUGUGCCAAUUAAUAUGGCGGUUGGUGUUGCAAGGCCCAGUGCACAGGGGCAGGAAACUACCUGGUAAAUAACAAAAAACGAGUUAAUAUGAUGUUUUUUCACCAAAGUUUCUCGCUAUCCUUCAUUUAUCCCACAUUCCCUUCUCGCUAAUUCACAUUAUCUCCACAAUUAUCGGUUUACAUCCCUCAAUAAGUUCGUCUAGUCCCAGUAACAAACUCAUAUUUUGAUACUUCACAUGAAAAAUACACUUUACUUUUCAUGCUCACUCACCAAGACAUCCACGGCCAGUUUUAGGCUUAAUGCCAAAGGAUCUCCAUCAGGUCCAGCAAUAUCAUUGAGCAAAACAUCUGGGAAGAUGUGUGAACCAAUGUAAUACCUGAAACAUUAAAAUAACUGAGUCUUUACUUGGUGAUCCUGAACAGGAAAUUGACACAUGACGCUUCGUUUACACUACAACUAAAUAAACAGAUUCCUGCUAAAACAAGUGGAAGCAUCUUAUCGAAUUUUAGAAGUUAUUUCCGGUAGAUAUUUUGAAAAGAAAACCAUACCAGAAGGCAAACGUCACUGCAGAUAAAGACAUUAUAGUGUAGACAAAUGGUCCAGCUAUUGCAUCUGCCAGCCUCUGUACAGGAGCUGCAUUACCUUGAGCUUCCUCAACCUAAAAGUUCAGUGUUUCAUAAGGUAUUCAUAUUUUAAAUUCUCACAAAGCAUCCUCGUAAUCCAAACAAUCCUACAAAUAGAGCUCAUUCAUAUGUUGUAGGUUAACCUGAUUCCAGACAGGAGAGGAUGAAGUUAAGACUUACAGAGGAACCGAGGGGUUUGACUUAAUUUCCUACAUACUUUCUUGUCUGAAAUCAGGUUUCUAUAUGCAGGUUGCGACUGAUAUUUCUAUUCGUAGCUGUCUUUCCUCCUUUUGUUUUGGACGAGGAAAGUCAGCUACAAACUAUAGAGAUUGAUGGCUGCAUUUUUUUUCACGUGAUGUUUUGAACAGAUCCAACGUUUUACACUGUAAAUAACCCUCACACUGUGUAACUUUCAUGAAGAUUCCUGGCUCUAGAUUCAGUGACACUAACCAUUUUAACGAUUUUAGAAAUUGUUGAGUUGGAGCCAGUAGAAGAAGCUUCAAUCCGUAGAGGGCCAUCCUGAAAUACGUAAAGCAAAUUUCUUGUUUUAAAAAAUCCUGCUGAUAAGCAGCAAUAUUUCCCCCUCAGUUUUGUUAAAGUAGCCUAUACAUACCCAGUUUAUUGUUCCCGCUGAAACUGAGCAUCCUUCUUCUUUAUACACGGGAAGUGACUCUCCUGUCAGCAUAGAUUCAUCCACAACACUUCUUCCAGCUAGCACAUUCCCCUAUGCACAAAAAAUCAAUUCAACUUGAUCAAAACGACAGCAGGAACUUUCAGAGCUAACCAUUCACAAGGAAUAAUAACCAUGCUGUUUUGAGAAAAUAAGAAUUAUAAUAACUCAUAUCCAUUAUCACGGUGCAGAAGAGAAUGUGAAAUUUAACUGAAUCUCAACGAGCUGAUAGAUCUCAAACUUUUUUCCUUUUCCAAAAUUUUCUUUUUUUUUUGCUUUCAGAUACACACACUAUGAUUUUAAGGUAUCAGACAGUGCAGCAUGGAUAAACUAUCACUUACAUCGACGGGAAACGUUUCGCCAGGCAAAACCAAAAGCGAGUCUCCAACUCGAAUCUCAUCAACUGGUACAUUGAUGCAAAUUGAAUCAGAGGAAAGUACAGAAUCAGCUGCUGUGUUAUUUUCUGAUGAAGUAAUAACAAGUCUUGAUUGAGUGGAGAUGAGUGACUGCAAAGGCACGUUAAAUUUUUAAAAGAGAAGGAAAAAGCCUUCAAGUUGAUUUUGGGAGCAGAACCGAAAAGUGUCCAGCUUACCAAUAGUUCAUUCAUAUCACUAGAUGCUUUAAGCUUUGCUCUUUCUUCCAAAGAACGACCAAGGAGCACAAAACCAAGCAGCAUGACCUGCAUACUAAAUGACAAGAGCUACAAUCAGAAAUCUACCAAUGAAAAAUGUAUUUCCAUGAAGUAGAAAUAAAAAAUACGAAGUUUUCAUCAUAGUCCCUUGUGGAUGUAAUAGAGAGACUCACCGGUUCCUCAAAGAAUGAAGCAUCCCACUCUAGAUCUGGAUUAACAAGUGAGAUCUGCAUAAUUCACAAUGCAGAGAACUGCAGUUAAGUAGACUAGGAUACUCACUAGUCAGAACUAGAUCACAGGAUUAAAAUACUCACCAAACUGAUGGCAAAUGCAGCCAUAGAUCCCAAUCCAACUAACGAGUUCAUAUUAGGUGAUCUUUUUCCGAAAGCCUUUAUGCCAUCAAACAGCAACUCUACAAUAUUUAGUCUAUUCAGUCAUUUGGCUUUCUGAAUAGCCUCAAAUAAGAAAGUUCACUGCUACCAUUUUAAAGCAUUUACACAAGUCUCAAAUAAUAGUAGGAACCGUCACUUUCACCUAAAAAGUCUGAAAUUCAUCGUUUCUCUCUUAUGACAAGUUGAACAUUCUAAUACAGAAGAGUUUUAUCCGUUUCGAUAAGUUGGAUUUCUGAAUAGCCUUUGAAUGACUACUUAUACCAUUCGAAACAUUGAUGCAACAAAGCUCAAAUAUGCAAUCAGAGUAUAUACUAGUAUCUCUCCCUAAUAUUACUAAUUACUCAACGUAUAUGCAUUAGCUGGUAAGCAUUCUAGACUGAAAAGAAUAAGAGAAAAAGAUAUUUAAGCAAAAGCAAACCUCGUCCUGGUCCCAACAAAGCUCCAACAGCCAAACCACCUUUCACGUAAGAGUUGUGUAGCAAGUCCCAGACUCCUCCUAGUAACACCAGGUGCAAGAGAAAGUCAGAAACUCCAUUUGUAUUCAGAAAAUAGCAUCUAACAUAACGAGAAUUUUCAUUGGUAUUCAACUCUCUAACAUGCAAACAAUAAUAUGCAAAACAAUGUACCAUGAGCAACGUGUAUUCCCACGGAAUGAAGAAUAUGCGAAGUGUGAGAUCCGCAACACAGAGCCACCAACGUCCACGCAAACGCCACACGAUUCCUGCUCUUAACAAGCAAUUCCUCCUUCUUACUCACCAUCUCCUUCCACUUCUUAACAUUCUCCGCCACUCCCAUCCCGGAAACUCUCCUCUUAGCCUCAAACCCACUCUCCGUCAAUCUCUUAGCUAAGCUCUCCGCCGCAUCCGCCACCGCCUCCUCAACCUCAGGCUUAAGCCUCACAGCGGCGGUUUCGGUCAACAUAUUAUCCACAGCAGACGCGACUCGGUCAUCGGACAUCAGAACCGAUUUAACCCGCGCGACGCAGCCUCCACACAUCAUCCCGCUCACGUCGAGGAGAACAGGCUUAUCAUCACUCGCAACGGAUUUCACAGAUUCGAUGGUAGAUUCGAUCGAUUGAGUAGUGAUCUCGAUCGAGUUUGAUACCAGGAAACUAGGUUUCGAACCGUGCCGUUGGAUACGAGAGCGGCGAUGUCUGGGAAAGAUUCGCUUCGGGAAUUUAGCGUCGAGGAACUUACCGGAACGGAAAUGCAGACUCGACGGUGGAGGAAGAGAGAGGCGGAGGAGAUUGGUCGCCAUAUUUCGCCGGCGGGAGUUGAACGAUCGUCUACGAUAGUGGAAAAAAUCCAGUGGUGGUAUGGGUUCGUUUUAAGCGGUAUCCGAAACGGAAUAGUCAGAGACUGACACGUCGGAUUUGGAAUAUAUAUCCAAACCACAAGUGUUUUACCGCUUUUUUUUUUCUUCUCGUCCACUAAUAAGAGUUUUAAGCCGCGUUUGUGGAAUUAUUUUAAAGGCCCAAAACAAGUAGUGCCAGGCUGUCACCAAAAUCAGAAAGAUAAAACGCAGCGUUUUUGAAAGGUUGACUUGUAGUAUCUAGAGACUGGGUACGACCUUCUGGAUGAAGGAGAAGACUGACGUCACGUGUCACCAAAGUCAGAAAGAUAAAACGCAGCGUUGUGAAAGGUCGACUUUUGGAAUACGUAAGACUCUGGAUGAACCAGAAGGUUAGUGUUCCUGGGACACAGUGAUGAUAACAGCGCCACGUGUCCCCUGUCUGAAAUAUCUAUUUUCUGUACUUUAUCUUCUUCACCUUGUCCGAAAAAAUCUCAGAGCUCCGCUGCAAUGGAGGUCACUGCGAACGAACCAGAUAUGAGAAGCUCCAAAUCCUCUCCGAGAGUAACGAUACCGAACUUCUUC